This 73905-nucleotide long non-coding RNA is filed under the name Gossypium barbadense (sea-island cotton). RNAcentral describes it as "long non-coding RNA (GBAR_LNC021280)". Lineage: Eukaryota; Viridiplantae; Streptophyta; Magnoliopsida; Malvales; Malvaceae. The record is from RNAcentral.
CGUGGAGGGUAAUUCUCCAAACAUGCUAUUGUUUCGAAGGUUUAACAUACAAGGAUUUGUAUAUCCCAAAGUAGGUGGGAUUUUUCCUGUCAAAUUGUUGUUUCCUAAAUUUAAAUAAGCUAAAUUUUCCCAAUGAUUCCAACAAUCUGGAAUUUCUCCAAUGAGUAGAUUUAUAUCGAUGUAAAGAGCUACCAUCUCCUUUAAUGAUGGAUUACAAAUUAAUUCAGAAAGGGAUCCUGAAAAUGAAUUAUUUGACAAAAAUAAAUAUCUUAAAGUUGAGAGUACUCUUGGCAAUGGACCUGUAAAGCGGUUGGAACUCAAGUCAAUAGAGUUUGUUACAUUCAAAUAUGAAAUCCCUCCAGUAAGUUGAUUAUAGGAAAGAUUUAAAUAUUCAAAUUGAGUGGGAAGAUUCACAAACCAAGUGGGCAUGACGUCUGAAAUUGCUACAUGGGAGAUAUCCAAAGAAGACAAUUCUUUUUGGAAUUUUAACCACAGGGGAAACUUUGAGCCAAGAUGCCAGUGACCCAAUUCAAUAAUUUGACAUUGAAAUGGGGGAAUCCAACUUGAGUUUGGUUCAAAUCUAAGCCUAUUGUGUGACGCCUUUAGAGUUGUCAAUCUCGUGAGUUCAGAAAAAUGGGUUUCUAUAACAACUCCUUCCAAUAGAUUAUACCCAAAAUCUAGAGUUUCCAAACUUUCCAAUUGUCCAAAACAUAGAGGAAAAGUACCAUUUAAUUGAUUUUCUGAAAGAUCAAAGUAUUUCAAAGAUGAUAACUCCCCUAUCGAUGAUGGAAUGGGACCAGAAAUGUUGUUUUGAGCAAGGGACAAGUAAGAUAGAUUUUUAAAUUGUCCAAGUUGAUAAGUUAAAUGACCAGAAAGUUGGUUAUCUGCCAUAUUUAAUGACUCUAAGGAACCCAAACAACAUCUAGACAAACUCUGUAGGAUUUCUGAUAUGUCUUGCUGAAUUUUAUUACUAGAAAGAUGAAGAAAUCGAAGAUGGUUUAAACAAAACAAGGAGUUGGGUAUGGAUGAAUUGAGUGAGUUCUGAUGAAGAUCAAGAACUUCAAGAAACGAGAUGUUCCCAAAGUAAUCAGGAAUUCGUCCAUCCAAAGAAUUGAAUCUAAGAUCAAUGGACACAAGACCAUGAAGACUAGAUAUUGACUUAGGUACUGAAGAUAAGCUGUUCCAAGAAAGAUCAAGAACAGCCAGUGAUUUUGAAGAAUUAACACUGAUCAAAUGUGGAUCAUCUUCCAAAAUGCAAGCUGACAAGUGCAACUCUAGCAGAGAAGGAUGUUUAAAUGUUACCUGUAGCCAAUCAGUUGCUUUAGAGAGAUUCGCGUAGCUCAAAUCAAGGUACUGCAAGGAAGAAAGUCCAGAAACCCAUUGAAGACUUUCUGAUAUGAGAUCAUUACCUCGAAGAUCAAGAUACUGCAACUUUGAAAGAUUCCCCAGGUUAUGAGGAAUUGCUCCCUGAAAUUGUGCUCGAGAGAGGUUAAGAUAUGUUAAACUCUCCAGCAAACCGAAUAAUUUCGGGAUAUGUAUGCUGCUAAAAUUAUUAUUGCUCAAGUCCAGGGUACUGAGAUGGUUCAACUCCAGCAGUGAAGGAUUUAUUUUGCCUCCUAGGGCUGACUGCUCGUAAGGUGAAAGAGGAGCAGCCAAGUGCAGUUGGUGGACGUGGCCCGUUAAGUUAAGGCAGACGACACCAAUCCAUUUACAGCAAUCCCCUCCUUCAACCCAAGAAGAUAACCUGUUUGAAGGAUCAAUAAGAUGAUUCUUGAAUUUCAAAAGAGCUUCUCUCUCACUUGGAACGCAAAGUAGGUUGGAAUUGGCAUGACAAAUGGUAAAAAAGAUAGCGGGAACGAGAAGAAGAAAAGGGAAAAAGGAAAUUGGAAGAGCAGUAGUCAUGGUUGCAAUUGCCAUUGCUCACAACUCCAAAUAUAUACUAAGAUUAGCUAAAACACAAAAAUACAUGAAGCGCAAGGAAGUUUCUUCCAACAAAAUGCAUUUAAUUGAUAAUAGUCUGUCGGAAAUUUGCUAUCAAGGGAAAUUUCUAAUUAAUUGCAUUUAAUUGUCCAUAAAAUGUAAUAUGAAUUCUAUUAUUAAAUUAAAGAAAUGUAUGCUAUCAAGGAAGUUUUUUACAAUACCCUAAAAGUCUAUGAAGAAAGUCCCACUCCCACUUUCUUUAAGACUUUUUAGGUCUUAAAAGCUAAAGGAUUAAAAAAAAAAAUAGUUUCCAAGUUUCGUGUUGAUUAUUUGUUUAUAUCAAAUUAUAAAGUAUAAUUUUUGAAGAAGGUUAAAAUAUGCUUUUAAGUUACUAUACACUUUUAUAUAUUUAGACUUUAAUUUCGUAUUUUUAAUUUUAAGAAUUUAUUCCAUAUAUUUUAAUUUAAAAAUUUAGGUUCAAUAGUUAUUAACAUUAAAAUUAUUCUAUUAAAUAUUCACUUGGGAGUCCUAUAACAAUAAAAUUAAUAUUAAAAAUUCUAAUUAAUUUUUUUCAUAAAAACACUUACUCAAACUCAACUUAGUUUAUGGAAUAAAUCUCACUCCCAUGGUUUACUUGCUACUUAAAAAAAAUUGAUACAUCAAACUAGCUCUCGAAGCAUUUUUCAUUUAAGAAAAAUCUACGUUAAACUUGAUAACGCCACAAGGGAAGCGUGUCGUACAAUUCAAAGGUUAUCUGGUUGACACUUAUCCAUUACUUUCAUUUAUAUCCUUAACAAAAUAAUGGCAUAGGAUGUUUGUUCAAAGGGUUAGUAAUUAAGUUCGUCUCUAAAUUAUAGUUCACUUUUAGAAAUUUUUUGAAAAUAAUUCCAAAAAAUCUAUAAAUUCAUUAUUUAUUUGAUAAAAUUUUAAUAUUUUUAAAAAUAUAAUUAUAGAAAAAUUUAAAAUUAAAAAAAAAACUCAAAAAUUACCCAAUUCAACGAGCACCCUUUGGAAAAUUUACAUUAUGUUUUAUAUUAUAUUAGUAUCUUCAAACCAAUUAUAUGUUACAAAAUUAUAAUUAAAAAUAUUUUUUAUAAAAUUAAAAAGUGAGAAUAUUUUUAGUAUGAUUAUAGGUGUCUUUAUUCAUUUUAAAACUAGAGUGUAACAUCCCGAAAUAAGGCCUAGGAGUUUGAGCCAACAAAUCCUUAUUUUCUAUUAAGGGCUAAGAUCGAUUGGUUAACAAUUAGGGAUAGAUUUCUGAAAAGGGUAAAAGUAGGAGUACUUGAAUAGUUAUUUGUCCAAAGAGUUGAGGAAACAAUUUCCUUCCUUAAAUGAAAUAGAGUCAUGCAUGUAAGACUUCCUCUGUCAUGAGGAGACCCUUAGGUUCUAAACUACCCUAGUUACAUAUGAAUUAAACACUGCCAACAAAAGUUUUAAACCUAUAUGCAUACCAAAAUCCUACCAUUAGCCAAACCUCCAUUGAAUUGUUUCUCUAUGUUUUCUGUCAAGUUUCUGCAAAUAAAAAACCAAGCCCUUUUUUCUUAAAGGUUCAAGGUAAGACUCUGUUUCUCUAUUGGAUUAGACAUUUAUAAGUAAUUUUAGAACUUUUAAGAAAGCUUGCAACAAAAGAACUAGGUUCACCAAAUGAUUAGCAUGUGCGAACCUAAGCUUGCUUGUGUUUAUAAAUGAGUUUUAAUGUGCUUUGACUAUUAGUGACUUGUGAAUAUUUGUGAAGUUGCAAACUUGACAGAGCCGUCUACAAGCAAAGACAUGGGAAAGGCAAAGCUUGUUUAAAGCUUUCGACAAAUUGCUAAGUGUUCAGGGAUUCCCACUUGUAUGUGCGGACCAUAGUGUUAAUCAGGAGCUUAGGGUCUUAACCUAAGUUUUGAGAGUAAGUUUUCUUUAAAACUCUGUUUUAUUAUUGUGUUUGAAUAUGUGCUUUUAAGAAUAGUGAUGUGCGAGCUCUAUGCUGCAAGUUGGUUAUGAAUAGCAUUUUGUGAGCUCUUUAUGAAUUGUGAGCUCUAUGUUUAAGUAAAUGUUUUGAUAUUAUAGUUUUUGUAACCGUUUGAUAUAAUGGCAUGUCAUAGAAUUGUGAGUACUCACCUCUGUGUUUUUUGAUUUGGGGGAGAGGCCUUGGGACAGGUUAGGAGAAAUAAAGGAAUGACAAGCUAAGCUCCAUUCGUUGAGAUAUACUGGUGUGAUGGAAAGUGUUAGCUUAACACUACAUUUAUCAGAUAUGUCAAAAUCUUUUAGUCAAAGAGGGGAGUCAUAAAGAGAUUCACUUAUCCAAUAGAAAAAAAUAAGUGAAUGAGAUAGUAUUGUUUUUCAAAAUAUUAUGUUUUACUAACUUAUACUAAGUGACAGAGUGUAUCUGCGAACCAAACUUCGUGUAAGUACGGAGAACCCAGUUCAUAGAGCAGAAACCUUGAUAAAACUCUUGUUUAACUUAUGUUUUUGUGCGUGCUUUGUGGUUUUUCUGUUCAUUGACUAAGUUGUCCCAGUACGACCUGAACUGAACUGGCAGCAACUGAACCUACUUGGGGUGUCGGUGGCAAUGGUUCUUCGAUGGUUGAGUAAUGAAAGAAUUAUACUCCUACUAGGACUCUACCAGAGAAUUUAAUUUUAGAUUAACUAUUCCAGGAAUAAUAUUAUUUUAAUAUAUUUAAUAUUAAAUUAAAUUUAAUACUUAUUUUAAUAGUAUUUUAUUAAUUUAUUAUUAAAAUAAUUAUCUAAUAUUAAAUUAAAUUUAAUGUUUAUCUUGUAGAUAAAUAUUCUAUUAACUUAAUAAGAUCUAAUAUUAAGGUGAUUAAGUUUAAUCAUAGUUGAACUCUCUAAACUUUUUCUAUAUAAAGAGAGCAUUAGGUUAUCAUUUUUUACACACUUAAAUUUAAGAGAAAUUUGUAGAGAGAAAUUUUCUGAAGAAAUUAUUUUAGAAAAUUUCUAGAAAUAUUUUUCUUAUUUACAACACGGUCCAAAAGUUUUCUAAUUCAAAGUAAUGUUUGUGAAAAGUUUUCUAAUUCAAAGUGAGCCCACACUCGAUAGACGUGAGCUUGAGGAUAACGGAGAAGACUACUCAAUUAAAGUGUUCAUCCUAGACGAAUAAAAAAAGGUACAAUUUGAUUAAGUAUUUAUUAGUUUAGAUAUAACAACCAAGUUCUUGUUUUAGAAAAAAAUUAAAAAACUCUGGUUUUAUCCUAAAUUUAUUUUCUGCUACGUUUUUCAAACCCGGUUUUCCAACAUUGUAGGUGUCCCUUAAUGGUCCAAGGACAUGUCUUUUUCACCAAUCUGAUGGAACUACCCUUUUAUGGUUUCAGCGUAAUCCUUGGAAUGGACUGGUUAAUUGAUCAUAAAUCCAAGAUAGACUUUGAAUCGAAACGAGUCACUUUACGGUAAGGUGAUGGGAUGAAAAUUACUGUGGUUGGAGAGUGAGCCCAAGUUUUUUCUAACAUGGUCUCGACAAUUAGAACUGAGAAGAUGAUGGGAAAAUGUUGUAAAGCCUACUUAGUGUACGUACUAAAUUCAAACUGUAAGAAACUAAGUGUACAUGAUAUUCACACUGUUGUCGAUUUUCUUGAUAUGUUUCCUGAUGAGCUACCUAUUAUACCACCAGAUCGCGAAGUAGAAUUCAACAUUGAGCUUCAUCUUAGAAUUGUGCUAGUGUCAAUUGCGACAUAUCACAUGGAACCAAAAGAUCUUAAGGAGUUGAAGCUCCAAUUACAAGAGCUGCUUGACAGAGGCUUCAUUUGACCUAAUGUUUCUCCUUAGGGCUCGCCAAUCCUAUUUGUAAAAAAGAAAGAUGGUUCACUAAGUCUAUUUAUAGACUACAGAUAGCUUAACAAAAUAACCAUAAAAAACAAGUACCCACUGCCUCGAAUCGACGAUCUGUUGACCAACUUCGAAAAGCUACAAUGUUCUCAAAAAUUGAUUUAAGAUCAGGAUACUACCAACUUAAAGUGAAGGAGUUCGGCAUUGAAAAGACAAUGUGUAGGAUUCGAUAUAGGCAUUAUGAGUUCUUGGUUAUGCCCUUUGAUCUCACAAAUGCACCAGUGGCAUUCAUGGACUUGAUGGUUCCAUGAAUUUUUGGAUCAAUUCAUAGUGAUUUUCAUAGAUGAACUUCUAUAGUACUCACAAACCAAAGGAGAGCAUGACAUCCAUCUGCAAGCUGUGUUGUAAGUACUACGGGAAAAACAACUAUAUGAUAAGCUGAGUAAGUGUGAGUUUUGGUUAUGCAAAGUAUCGUUCUUAGGACAUGUGUUCUUAGUAAAAGGAAUUCAUGUAGACCCAAGGAAGAUCGACACAAUUGUAGAGUGGAAGACACCAAAGAGCAUUAUUGAGGUUUGAAGUUUCUUAAGAUUAACUGGAUACUAUCGAUGGCUUGUUGAAGAGUGUGUCGUCCCCUAUACUUUGAUUUUAGUCUUGGUGGUAGGUGCGGUAAGCAUCUCUACCAUCUCACUACUUUCCAGAUUAGGCAUAUUGCCCAAAGAAUAAGGCUCAGCUCGAAACCCUCUACGAUGUCCACCAUGCCCUCGUGUACCAUGACCUCACAUACCACGUGUGCUCAUUUAACUUAUCUAAAGUUCAAAAAUCUUAAAUUUAGCUUAGAUUAUUUUUAAAUCCCAAGUCUAAAGUUUAGUAGAAGCACUUAUCUUAAAGCAAAAAUUAUUUUAUUCUAUAGUCUUUAAAGGUUAGCAAUUUUACUAAAGUAACUAUAGUAAGAGUAAUUAUAGUAAAAAAUUUCUUACUUGGAUUGGCAUUGGAGUCUCAAAUUCUUUUUACGAACUCAAACAUCAAAAUUAAUCCAAAUUUAAAUUUAUUAUUGUUAAAAAUAAUUUUCAUAAAAUAUUACCCAAAAAUAACAGCCUGAGUUUAGAACUUGGCUCUAAUACCACCAAGUAUAACACCCCAAACCCGUCAUAGUCAUUAUGGCGAAAUCUUGAAGGUUACAUUAAUGAGUUGAAACUUGGCCAUUUAUUUUUAAAAUGUAUCUUUUUCCAAACCCGAAAAUAAGAGAUUUUAUAGAAACUUGCCUCAACUCUUUGGUAAGAGAAUUUGCCAAUCAUAAAAAUGUAUAUGUACAAAUUUGAAACAUUUGCUUAAAAAAAUUGAUUUUUAUAAAUUCAUGAUGCUAUCGACUUUAUUUACUUACUUUGAAAAACGCAUAAUCCCGAUUAAAAAUUUGUAGCAGAAAAUUUCUUAUAAUUGUUUAACCUUGAAAAUUGAUUGUUUAAGUUAAAUUAUUAGAAAUUGUGCCAAUUUUAGAAUAACUAAUUAAAAUACUCAACAAAUCCCAAAAACAAAAGUUAAAGUCAGAAAAAUAGUCCAAUAGUCCAUAUGUCCAUAAAAUCUAAAUUUUUUUUUUGAAAGAGUUUAACAUAGAAAAAGUGAAUUGAGCUCCCAAGCAUUGCCAAAUCCUAAGUUUGAGGAUUACCUGAAAUAUAUUUAUCAAACAAUGUGAGAUAUAAAGGUUAGUGUGUGCCUUGGCCCACAAGCUAAAAUCACAAACAGAAUCAUACUUAGAUGCAAAUACAAAAGUAGACAUAUAAAAAAUUCUACAUGCAUAGCAUGACAUAAUCAAAUAGAAUAAUCCUACCUCCAUCAGCUACACACUAACUCCGUCCAACUAAUCACACCAAAUAAGGCUACAAGAACUCAUCCAUCCAUCACAUUAUAAUAUGGUUCUAUGUCACUUAGAUAAUAUGUAGCUAUGUUGCCAGAAUAUAUAUUGUGGGUAUAAUGCCAGAAUCAUGUAAUGCAGUAAAUUUGCCAAAAUCACACUUCAUCACAUCCAUAUAUCCCACCCCAAAUGCACAUGCAAAGUCAUACUAAAAGAUCAUGCAUAAGUAUCAUAACAUGCCAUGCCUACUUAUAAAUAGUCAGAUACAUGUUUUUCAUACAUACGAGAUAAUACGACAUAUCAUACAGGAAAUCUUACUCAGAGUUUAACACCUUUAUUGAGUGAAUGUAAAUUAGAUUUAGAAAACUCACACUCGGCCUGCACAAUGCCCAAUAAAUUGCACAAACUGGGCUCACACGCCAUGUGGCCCACACACCCUACCAUACAAUCUAGCACACAACCAAUUAGAUGCCCGUGUGACCCAUACAACUUGUCAUAUGGCCAAACAGACGACCAUGCGGUGAUAUCUACCAGUUUCAAUUUUUCACAAAAUUUCCAUAUUAUUGACCUUUCAUAGUAUCUACAAGUUUAGAACACACUUGAUUACUGUUGGAAUGUAGGCACCAUACCAACAAUAAUUUUUGCACACAACAUUCACAACUAGACCCAAUUCGCAACCAAUAUUGAAACUGAUGGGUGUCGAAUCCACCAAUAUAAACCUACGCCUUAAAUUGCAAAUUAUGCAGUAUAGGGAGUAGGGUUGAUCCCUCAAAGACUGGUUUACUGUAAAUUGUUGCUCUCUUGACCAGAUUUAUGUUGGGGCAAUUGUCGUGCCCAAGAAAUUCGGGGGGAUAAAAUUUUAAGUCCUGAAAAUAAAUAAAUAAAAUGCGUGAAAAGAAAAAGUUGAAAACAUAAUAAUAAAAACAGUGAAAUAAAUAUUAAGAAAAAUUAAUUAGAAUAAGCUCAACUUUAGGCACGAAUUUUCCUCGUCUUUGAACCGAUCCUCGAAAUUGGAUGAACUCCUCUUUUCCAAUAAGCUAGUUAUAGCUACCAAGGACGCCUCGGAUACCAACUCUUCCUUGUGUAAAUUAGUUAAGGAACGUCCAAUAACUAACCCUUACCAAUCGAACAACCACGAAACGUUCGUGAUUUAGAACUCCGGCAGCUUUGCGUUCUAGAAGAGCCUAGCUCGAACCAAUGCCCUCAACCGCGUGGGACAUUUACAUCCGGUUACUACUUCCCUUGACGGAACCAAAUAGCAAUCUCCACUUGGCACGCCAAUGUGUUCACAGAAAACUAAUUAGAAACGUUCCUUUCGGAAUUCCAACUGUACGUCUAAUCACACUAAAUCAAACGUCUUUUUUGACUUAGUGUUGACCUGACUUCGUGAGCUGACAAAAUCAUACUCUUAAUCCGGAGAAGUAAUAAGUAUUGGAAUUUUAGGAGUUAAAUGACUCAAGUUCGUAACUCACGGGUUUUGACGAGGCUAAUUUUGGCCUAAAACUGAAAAUGGGUUUAGUUGGCUAAGGUUUGGGGCAUGUUGGUUUUGGAAUAAUUAAAUAAGAUUGAAUAAAUGAAAAAAAAAUGAAAGUGACUGGUGAAAGUGACGCAAUGUUGGAAAUUAAUUGCUGGCAAAAACAAAGAAAGAAAAGAUUGAAUUGCAAGAAAUAAAAGCUUAAUUUAAAAACGAAAUGAUUAAAAACUUGAUGGAAAAUUUUAUGAAAAGACUUGAUGAAAAACUUAAAAAGAACUUGCUACAAAACUUGAUAGAAAACUUGAUAAAAGAACUAAAUGAAAAAUAUUUGAAGAAAGAAAUAACACUUAAUGAAAGACUUAAUUGAAAGCUUGAUUCAUGAAUUGAUGAAUUGAUGAACAAUGUAGCCUCUAUUUAUACUAGUGGCUUUACUAAAUUAAGAGCCAACUAGUAUAGAAAAUCAAGGAAAAUAUUCUAUAAUAUAAAAAAUAUCCCAAAAUAAUCUCCCACUAAGUCAACAAUUUCAGCUAAUUAUUCUUGGAAAAAUUCUGCUUUGGCCCUCCUUCUUUGCUUCUUUCUUCAAUCUAGGCCAAUUGUUUCCUUUUUCUUCUAUUUAGCCCCAAAUUGCAUUCCUGCACAAAAUUCAAUAAAUAUGGCAAAAUUAAUGGUGCAUUCUCAUAAAUUAACUAAAUUAAUUACAUAAAAUAUGUAACUUUAGCAUUUAAUCAGAAACCAAAACUUGAAUUCCAUAUUUAACACUUAAUAAAACCAACCUCAAAACUAACAUUUGGUCACUUACCCAGAAGAGGAUUGAUUCCACUACAAUCAAAUAGAAGAAUGAGUAACCAUUGUAGGAUCCACCGCUAAAAUAAACCCCCAAAAAUAAAGAUCAAUAACGAAGAUUAAAGAAUGACUAAAACCCCUAUCUGUCACAUGGAACCAAAUUAAUUCACCUUAUGAAGAUUAAAGAUUAAAGAAUGCACUUACAAGACUUACACGAAAACGAAAAUAUGAAUUCCUCGCUCAAAACACAACACCACAACCAUAAAAUGCCAGAAAAUGAUAACAGAGAAACAAAAAUAGAGGAACAAAGAUUGAGUUUGCAAUUACAAAAACCAAACAAAAGAGAAAGGGAAAAGAAUAGAUGAAAAAUGAUAGAGAAAAUUUGCAGAAACAAAAAUGACCAAAACAGAAAAUGGGGAGAGGGUGGAAAGAGAGGGACGACAGAAUAAAGAGAGAUUUUAGGGAUAUUUUUUAUAAUUAAAAAAAUAAAUCAGAUAAAAAUACUAUCUAAUCUAAUUAGUAACCACCUAUCAGAUUACUCAACAGUUAAAUUUGACAGAAACUCUGACAAGUAUGGGCGGCAGCAACCGAUAUACAGCAAAAAUUAAUUUCUUUUACACACAACAGAGUUUAAACUUGGGAACUAAGGGUAAACUAAAGCCUUAUUAUUGAACCAGCAGACUCAUUAUUACCAGCAAACUAGCAAGACUAAAAUAUAAACUACAAGUGAUGAGCCAAAUGAAGAAAUAAAAAUAAUACAAAAUUUGUAAGGAAAGGGAUUCGAAUAUAAAGUCUCAGGCACAUAAACAAAACCAUUAACACAAUAAACUAAAUAAAUUUACUUGUCAUAAUUAAGCGAUUUAAAUCUAAAAAAUUUGGUGCGUUACAAUUUCCUUCAAAAAGGAAGAUUCAAGCCUGCAGGCACACAGAAAACAUCAGCAACGCAAGCUUCCUUAAAAAUACAUGAUAAUUUAGUUUUUAGGGCACACCGUCGAAUAAAGAGUCCAAUACUCAACACCCAACGUCAGCUUUCAAAACGGAUACAUUUAUUCAAGCUGCCAUCUUUAUUUAACUCAAUAAUAUUACGCCAAACCGUGGACAUUUUAUGAGUAUGAUGCAAGGAAGGCAGCCAUGAAAGUUUACCCAAUCCAUAUUUCACUACCAAUAGUUUUCUCCAAAGAGAAUUAUGCUCUGUACUAUAUCUCCACCACCAUUCGGGUAGUAGAGAGCAGAAUUUUUAUCUAUGAGUUUCCCAAUGCCUAAAGCACCACAUCUUUUAGAUUUAACAAUCAACGCCCAUUUCUCAUACAAAAAAGGAAAACCAUCUCCCAUUAAUACAAAUGACAUGUCAUCAUUGUUUCAUACAAUCCUUUACCAUUAAUACAAGUGAUUUAAUUUAAUUAAUAAUAAAAAUUAAAUAACCUAAUUUGAUUAAAUUAAAUAUUGAUGAUGGAUAUGAAAAUUAAUGUAAGUUUAAUGAUUUAAAUUGUAAAUAACUCAUUGGAUAAAUUUACAUUGAGAGUCAAAGCAUAAUUAGACUAUUAGAGAUGAUUAAUUGUCUUCAUUCAUUUUGUUUGAAACUUCUAGUUAAUCUUACAAAUUUCCAUGCCUUCAAUCCAUUUUUUGACAUUAUCUAAUGAAAUAAUAUUUUGUUUGAAAUUAAGCAUUACUCCAAUAGUAGAUUUGACCACCAUUAACCUGUUCAAACCAUUUUAUAUUACUACUAUGAACUUUGUGGCCAAUGGUUGCUUCAUUGCUGAUGUUUUGAAUAGUUAUGGAAUACCCAAAACAUUUUGUAUGUAUCCUAUUGUUCAUUCCUUUUUCAAUUUAUUCAAAACUUCGUUUUUUUGUAUAAUACAGCGAUAAGAAGCUUUGUUAAUGACAUAUUAUGUUUAGUUUGCUUUGCCUAUAUAUGGAUUGAAUUAAUUUAGGCUGAUCACUCGCUAAACCUUCCAAUUAUGUCCAUAUUAUUAUGCUAAGUAUUGUUAUGAUACUUGCUAUCAUUGGUCCAAAAUCUAAAGGGGCUUGGGUCGGAUUCUAUUGAGCUCACACGUUGAGCUUGCAGACCAAGCUCGUAGGAUAAUGGAUGUUCACAGGAUAGGUACUUACAUUCUCCUGCGAAAUCAUACGUGAGAUCGUGUAUGAGACCACAUAAAUAUGUGUUAAGUCGAGAGUAGGAUACUUGUUGAUAUGUAUGGAACCUACCUAAAAUGUUAUAUCAAUGAACAGUACAAAUAUCAUAUAAAUACACAAACACCGCUAUCUAAGAGAGAUAGAGAAAACACUCAACAGAAUUUAGGUUUUAACUGGCUCUAAUCAUCACGUGCUUCUCUUUGACAGGUCUUUUCAAUUUCUAUUGAAUAAGUUUAGCUUUCACUUGAAGCUUUCCUUCAAUGAAUAUCUGCUUUUCUUCAUCUUUGAGUUUUGUUUUCCUUCAAUACCGAUUACUGAAUUAUGAGUUUUGUUAAUAGAUUUGGAAAGAAAACUCAUUGAGAUCUUUUUUCUUAUAGUUAUAAAUUAGGAAUUUGGUGGCAAAGUAGAGUUGGAAUGGCAAAGAGUAAUAGGGCUGGGCUAUCUACAGACUUGUUGACGAAGAUUUGUCAUGGUUGCAAUCGCCAUUGGUCACAACUCCAAAUAUAUAGUGUAAGCUUAGCUAAAACACAAAUAUAUUGAGCACAUACAUCAAGCGCAAUGAAGUUUCUUACAACAAAAUGCAUCGGAAAUUUGCUAUCAAGAGAAAUUUCUAAUUAAUUGCUUUUAAUUUUCCACAAAAUGUAAUAUGAAUUUCGAUUAUUAAAUUAAAGAAAUGUUAAAAAGUUCAGUCAAACAAAAUGGGUGCCGUGGACCCUUAAUUAUUUCUUCACGCAUAAAACAAUAUUAAAUAAAUUAUAAAAAAUCUAAAAUUAUAAUAACUAAAGUAAAUUAUACAACAUCUACCCAUUAAUAGGCUUAAAAAAUAUGAAAGAUUGAUCACUGUAACACUCCGAAUUUCUUAGAUAUGGAAUGUUAAAUUAUAACAAAUAAUUUAAUUCUGUUUAGUGGAUAAGUGUAGUGAUUAAGUGGGUGAGGUUUUGGGUUUGAGUUUUUUCUUUAGAAUUUUGUUAAUUUUUGGUUCUAUUUCUAUCACUAAUUAUUUGAUUUAAAUCUUAUUUCUAGAUAAAUUAUUAUAGAAUAAAUCUAUUGGUUCAAUGGUUAAGUUUUAACGUAUUCUUGAGUUUAGAGUUUAAAUCUUGGUGUGGGCAUAUGAAAUGUUUUUGUUGCUUGUUAUUUGUCAAUAGUUGAGUUCUUUUUUAAUCACAUUGGAUUAUUAUAUAAUUUUUUUUAAGUUAUCAAAAUAAAACAUAUCCCUAAAUUUACUCUAAUUUGCACGUCCAAUUACCCUUCCCUUCUCACGUUCGUUUCUUUUUCUUUUUCUUGUAUUUUCUUCUUUUGUUUUUGUAGCCUCUUUUCCAUUAUUCUUUUCUGCCGUACUUGCUUACUUUCUGCUAUUCCAUUUUACCCCUUGUAUUCGUGCACGGUGAACGUGGAGUAAGUUUCAUUUAAUAAUUUCUGUUCUUUUCCUUUGAAAUUGUUUCUUGAACAAGAUAGGAGUUGUGCUUAUACCUAAUCUUCUUUCUUAGUUUUGAUAAGCGCUCUUGUGUUUUCGAUUAGGCGAAGGGAGUGAGAAUCUUAUUCCUCCAGCAGAAUAGUUCUCGUCUUUGGUGUUGUUUUUGAGCGGUGAGUAUACGAAUCUCGUUUUAGGGACUGAAUUUUGACCAAAGAAUGUCAAUUUGGGUGGGUCUUUGAUGAUUAAUUAGUAUGAUUUGUUAAUUGAUUGUAGGUUUUAAUCAAUUAUCUCAUCAGGUGUGUAAUUAACCCCAAACAUCAUUUAAAACUCAGAGAAAAUUAUAAAAUAGGGGAUGUUUUCGAAACUGCCCAGCGUCACACGGCCGUGUGGAGCACAUGCUCUGUGAAAUAACAUGGACAUGUGGUAGGUCAUGUGGACCAAACAGACUAGCUUUUUUGGGCUGUGUGGGAGCUUGUUGGGCCAAUUUUGAGGCCCGAUUAGGGCAGUUUAGGGGACUCAAAAAUUGAGUCUAUGGGCAUUAUGUAGGCCCGAAAAAACAUAAGUUUCAAUAUGCAAACAUAGGUUUGUGUAGAAAGCAUGUUAAGUAAGUCUCCAUAAGUGUAUUAAUGUGAUAUGAUAUGCUUUAUAAAUAUGUACAUUAGAUAUGCAAGCUAUAUGAUUUGUGAGUACCACAUGCUGUGUUAUGUUCCGUAUGAAAAUAUGUGUAUAUGCAUGCCAUACGAUUUAUGUUAUAUGUAUGUAUGAUAUUAUGCCUAUGUUUUGGGGUGGGAUUUGAUAUAAUGAAGGAAGUUUUAUAUGGCAGUAUUUACUGCAACUAUGGUGGCUAGAAUGCAAAUUUCUGUCUAGUAGCUCAGCGGCAUAUUAUGAGUGACAUACCUCCACAUAUUGGUGUGAUGGGAUCGAUGGAUGUACUCUUGCAGUUCUAAUUGGUGUGUUUGGUUAGAUAGAGAUGGUGUGUAGCCAAUAGGGGUAGGAUAUGUUUUGUUAUAUGAUAUGCUUUGAUAUAAAAUCUGGUAUGCUAUGAUAUGUAAUAAGCUAUGCAUCUAUUUGAUUUUGACAUAUACUAUGAUUUGUGGGCCAAAUUACACGCUGGGUGUAAAGCUCACAUGUUUGUUUUGUUUUAGGUAAUCCUUAGGCUUAGGAUUGAAUGGCGACUCUAGAGCUUGGUUUUCACGUUUGGGUUUAGUAUGUUAUGGACUUUCAAUUUUAUGGACUUUUUAUUCGGACUUUUGGACAUUUAAUUUUUUUCUAGGACGUUUAGAAUUUAUUUUGGUAGUUGUUUUGUUAAAGCUUGGUUUUUAAUCGGAGUUAAAAACAAGACGACUAACAACAAACUAAAGGUAAAUAAGACAAAAUUUCUAUAAUGUGUCGCAGCCAAAUAUUGUCAAAAAUUGCUAGAAUGUUUUAUAUCGCAAACGAUUUAAGUAAAAUAGGUUUGUUUUUAGUAAAACUAUUAAACAUGCUUUUUCCUCGAAGCACUCAUGGGUUUUUGAGAAUUGAUACAUUUUCAAAGAGUUAUUCAAAUCGAUUUUCUUUACGUUGAAAGUGGGGUUUCAUCAAAAUUAAGAAUUAAUGUUUUCAUGUACGAUGUAAUCUCCACAUCCCGACAGUAACGUCUAAGUCGAGUUUGGAGUGUUAUACUGAGCUUGCUCGAGUAGAUACCUUGGGAAAUUAAAAUAAAUUUAAGAAAAUUAUAAUUAAAUUAUAAAAAAAUUUGUUGAAAUGUCAUUAAAUAAUUGAAAAUAAUUGAAAAGGGAUAAUGGAUGAUAUGGUGGGAAAUGUCUACAAAAUAAUUUCUCCGACAAAACAUAUUCAUACAUUAUCAUAACACAAUUUGAUCCACUCUUCGGUAAAUUAUACCAACAUAAAAUGUCAUUGCACAAGGGAAAACAAGAAUAAAUAAAGAAUAAUAAAUCUAAACUCAGAGUUUAGUUCAAUUGAUUCAUGUAAUCCUUUUUAAAAUGUUACAUUUAAUAGAUUUGAGAACGGAAUCCUAUAUAAUCAAUACAAACACACAAACCUUAAUUAUACAUGUUUUUUUUCCAUCAAACUACAUACCCAUAGUAGCCCAAUACACAUACAGCUUUCGACCUGGUCCAACUUUCGAUAGUAUGCAUGCCUCCAAGACCUGUUGAAAAACAAGGGAGCCACUACACCCCAAAAUCCUAUUACAAAGCCAAGAACUAUGCUACAUAAAGCCAAUUCACUUUACUUCCUUCACUGCUACUUCCAUUAUUUGCAACAUCAGUUGGAAUACCUUUUGUGUUGCAACUUUUAGUGAGAGGAGGUCCGCAAAGAUGAUUGCCCAUGUAAGAAAAGUUUUCAAAGCUUUGAAGCUGAGUGCUUAUUGGAAUUUGUCCUGUCAAGUUGUUGUAAGACACAUUGAAGUGAUUCAAGAAAUUCAAAUUGGAGAUGCUUGGAGGGAUUUCACCAUUCAAUCGAUUCACGGACAAAUCAAGAGAUUCCAUCAGCUCCAUGUUGCCAAUUUCGUUUGGUAUAUUUCCUGCUAGGAGAUUCGUUGAUAGAUUUAAUGACCGUAGCUCAAUGAGACUUCCAAUUUCAUUUGGAAUCUCUCCCGUGAGACUAUUAGUUGAAAGGUCCAUACUGGUAACAAGCCCUAGUGUGGCACUGUAUUCAUCCUCUUGUCCUUUCAGCACUAAUAAUGCACUCAAAUAAAAGAGAGUAGUUCUGGUACUUACCCACUCAUAAAUAUAGUUACUUUGGUUGCUUCUGUUGGCCAUUGCAGUCAAAUUACUAAAACAUUUUGGAAUAGUGCCUGAAAUGUUGUCAUGGGCAAGGUCCAAAUUCUGAAGAUAUUGAAGAUCACAAAUUUUAUGAGGAAUAUGGCCAUCAAAAUUAUUUGAUCGAAAGCUUAGAACCUUAAGUCUUGAGUGCUUGUCUCUAAUCCAUUCUGGUACACUUCCAUUGAAAUGAUUUUCACUAAAAUCAAGCAUAAUCAAACUGGAAUUUUGCAAUGUGGAUGGCAAUGCUCCAAACAUGCUAUUAUUCCGAAGGUUUAGCAUUGAAAGAUUUAUAUGCCCUAAAGAAGGUGGGAUUUUACCGGUCAAACUGUUGCUUCCCAAAUUUAAAUGCCCUAAAUUCUGCCAAUGAUUCUAACAAUCUGGAAUUUCUCCUGAGAUGAGAUUUUUAUCAAUGUAAAGAACUUCCAUCCCUCCCCUACUUGGUGAAUUACAAACUAAUUAAAAAAGAGAUCCUGCAAAUGAAUUAUUUGACAAAAUUAAAAAUUUUAAAGUUGGGAAUACUACUCUUGGCAAUUGGCCUGUGAAUCGGUUUGAACUCAAGUAAACAAUGUAUGUCACAUUCAAAUAUGAAAUCCCUCCACUAAGUUGAUUAUAGGAAAGAUUUAAAUAUUUAAAUGGAAUGGGAAGGUUCAAAAACCAAGUGGGCAUGACAUUAGAAAUUCCUGCAUCAGAGAUAUCUAACACAGACAACUUCUUUUGGAACUUUAACCAUUGGGGAAAUUUUUGGCCAAGAUGCCAAUGACCCAAUUCAAUAAUUCCACAUUGAAAUGGGAGAAUCCAGCUUGAGUUCGGUUCAAAUAUUGUGUGAUGCCUUCAGAGUUGUCAAUCUGGUGAGAUUAGAAAAAUGGGUUUCUAAUACAACUCCUUCCAAUAGAUUAUACCCAAAAUCUAGAGUUUCCAAACUUUCAAGUUGUCCAAAACAUAAAGGAAAAAUACCAUUUAAUUGAUUUUCUGAAACAUCAAAGAACUUCAAAGAUGAUAACUCCCCUAUGGACAAUUGAAUGGGACCAAAAAUUUUGUUUCGAGCAAGGGACAGGUAAGCUAGAUUUCUAAAUUGGCCAAGUUGAUCAGUUAAAUGACCAGAAAGUUCGUUAUCUGCCAUAUCCAAUGACUCUAAGGAACCCAAACAACAUCUAGACAAACUCUGUAGGAUUUCUGAUAUUCCAUCUUCAAUUUUUUAAUAUGACAAAUCCAUCUCCUUCAAUUUGCACAGAUAUUCCAGAGAGGUUGAUAAUCUUCCCUUCAACAUAAAAUUUGAACAAAGAUCAAGGUGAGUAAUAGAGCUCAAGUUUCCAAUGGUUCUCGAGAUUGUUCCUUGUAACUGGUUUUCACCACGACUCAGGAACUGAAGACGGUUUAAACUAUACAAGGAAUUGGGUAUGGAUGAAUUGAGAUGAUUCAAAGUAAGAUCAAGAACUUCAAGAAACGAGAUGUUCCCAAAGUAAUAUGGAAUUGGACCUUCCAAAGAAUUCUCACUAAGAUCAAAGGACAUAAGACUAUGAAGACUAAAUAUCGACUUCGGUACUGAAGAAAAGCCGUUCCCAGAAAGAUCAAGAAUAACCAGUGAUUUUGUAGAAUUAACACUAAUCGGAGAUGGAUCAUCUUCUAAACAACAAUUUGACAAGCGCAACUUUAACAAAGAAGGAUGUUUGAAUGUUACCUGUAGCCAAUCAUUUGCUUUAGAAAGAUCCGCACCACUCAAAUCAAGGUACUGCAAGGAAGAAAGUCCAGAAACCCAUUGAAAACUUUUUGGUUUGAGAUAAUUACCUCCAAGAUCAAGAUAAUGCAACUUUGAGAGAUUCCCAAGGUUAUGUGGAAUUCCUUCCGGGAAUCCAGCUUGAGAGGUUAAGAUGAGUUAAACUCCCCAGCAUACCAAAAAAUUUCAGGAUAUAUAUGCUGCUAAAAUUGUUAUAGCUCAAGUCCAGGGAACUGAGAUGCUUCAACUCCAGCAGUGAAGGAUUUAUUUUGCCUCCUAGUUUUGACCGCUCGUAAGCUUCCCAUUCAAAACAUGGUGCAAAUUCAUCAGGCUCUGAAAGAGUAGGAGCCAAGUUCAGUUGGUGGACUUGGCCUGUUGAGUUAUGGCAGACGACACCAAUCCAUUCACAGCAAUCCCCACCUUCAACCCAUGAAGAUAGCCUGUUUGAAGGAUCAAUAAGAUGAUUCUUGAAUUUCAAAAGACCUUCUCUCUCACUUUGAAUGCAACGUGCGUUGGAAUUGGCAUCACAAAUGGUAAAACAGAUAGCGGCAUUGAGAAGAAGAAAAGGGAAUAAGGAAAUUGGAAGAGGAGCUGUCAUGGUUGCAAUUGCCAUUGCUCACAACUCCAAAUAUAUUGAGUAAGCUUAGCAAAAACACAAAAUAAUACAUGAAGCGCAAGAAAGUUUCUUCAAACAAAAUGCAUCGGAAAUUUGCCAUCAAGGAAAUCUCUAAUUGAUUGCAUUUAAUUUUCCACAAAAUGUAAUAUGAAUUUCGAUUAUUAAAUUAAAGAAAUGUUAUAAAGUUCAGUUAAACAAAAUGGAUGCCGUGGUCCCUUAAUUAUAUCUUCAUGCAUAAAACAAUAUUAAAUAAAUUAAGAAACUAAAAAAAAUUAAAGAAACUUAUAAGAAAAUUUUAUCUAAAAAAAAUUAAAGAAAAUUAUAAGAAAAUUUUAUCUAUUUUUAUUUUUAAAUUUUAAAGAGCUUACUUUUUUUAUAUAUUUUUUUGAAAAUCUUUAAAAUUUUAAAUUUCUAAAUUUUAUAUAUUUUUUUAAUUUUUUAAAAUAUUUUAGAUUUUUUAAAUUUUUAAAAAGUGGCAUAUAAAAUAAAAUAAUGUUAAUGUAAACAAAAAUAUUGUCCACGUACAUUAGGGGCAAGGGAUGUUAUCAAAAUUUUCCACAAAAUGUAAUAUGAAACUCGAUUAUUAAAUUUCAGUCAAACAAAAUGGAUAUGAUGAAGGAAGACAUGGAAUUUGAAUAACAUUAUUUUUCUCUAUGUUUGGGUAUCAUUAAGCCAAAAUUUGAAAACGAUUAUUGAAAAUAAUGAUUUUUUUCUUGCCCUCAAACAUUUACUGAAAAUAAAUCAAUUUAUCUUUUACUCUCCUUUAUUUAACUCUUAAAUUUGUUUUUAAAGACAACCAUAAAACUUAUAUAUAUAUAUAUAUUAGCAUAGUUUUCAAAUUUCGUGUUAAGUUUUAUUUGCUUGUAUCAAAUUAUAAAGUAAAAUUUUGAAGGUUAAAAUAUGCUCUAUGUGCUUUAAAUUUGGAUGGUAGUUUUGUACUUUUAUUUUUAAAAAUUUAAUCCAUUUUUAAAUUUAAAAUCUCAAGUCCAAUAAUUAUUGCCAUUAAAUUAUUCUAUUAAAUUUAAUGGUGUGACGUUUAAAUUUUAAAAAAAUACAUCCACUUAAUAGUUCUAUAACAAUAAUAUUGAAAAUUCUAAUUAAUAUUUUUUUUUCUUAAAAAACACUAGUUUGAACUCUACUAAGUCUAUGGAAUAAAUCCCACUCCUGCUGUUUACUUGCUAUUUAAAAGAAAUUGAUACAUCAAAAUAGCUUUCAAAGCAUUUUCAUUUAGGAAAAUUCGACGUUAAACUUGAUAACGCCACAAGGAGGAGUUAUCAAAUCUAGCAGUUAACCAAAUUUAUGGACAUUUAAUCGAUCAACUUGGCAAUUUAAAAAUCUAGCUUACUUCCCCUUGCUCAAAACAAAGUUUAUGGUCCCAUUCCGUUGUCGAUAGGGGAGUUAUCAUCUUUGAAGUUCUUUGUUGUUUCAGAAAAUCAAUUGAAUUGUACUUUUCCUCUAUGAUUGGGACAACUGGCAAACUUAGAAACUCUAAAAUUUGGGCAUAAUCUAUUGGAAGGAGUUGUAUUAGAAACCCACUUUUUUAAUUUCACGAGAUUGAUAACUUUGAAAGCAUCAAAGAACAUGUUGAGAUUUGAACCAAACUCAAGUUGGAUUCCCCCAUUUCAAUGUGGAAGUGUUGAAUUGGGUGAUUGGUAUCUUGGCCUAAAGUUUCCCCAAUGGUUAAAGUUGUAUCAUUUAGAUAUCUCCUAUGCAGGAAUUUCAGAUGUCAAGCCCACUUGGUUUUUGAACCUUUCCACUCAAUUUGAAUAUGCAAAUCUUUCCUCUAAUCAACUUAGAGGAGAGAUUUCAUAUUUGAUGUGAAAAUAUUGUUGACUUGAGUUCAAACCAAUUCACAGGUCUACUGCCGAGAGUAUUCCCGACAUUAGAUUUUUUAGUUUUGUCAAAUAACUCAUUUUCAGGAUCCCUUUCUGAUUUAGUUUGUAACUCAUCGGGAGAGGGAUGGAUGAGAUCUCUUUACAUUGAUGCAAAUCUUCUUUCUGGGGAAAUUCCAGAUUGUUGGAAUCAUCGGUUUUUGAAUUAUUUAGAUUUGGCGAACAACAAUUUGACUGGAAAAAUCCCACCUUUGUUACAUAAAGAUCUUAGACUGCUCAACCAUCGAAAAAAUAGCAUGUUUGGAGAAUUACCCUCCACAUUGUGAAAUUCUACGAGUUUGUUUAUUCUUGAUCUUAAUGAAAAUUAUUUCAGUGAGAGUGUACCAGUAUGGAUUGGUGAUAAGCUCUCAAAACUUAUGGGUCUAUGCCUUCGAUCUAAUAACUUCAAUGGCCAUAUUCCUCAUAACAUUUGUGAUCUUCUAUCUUUCAAAACUUGGACCUUGCCCAUAACAACAUUUCAGGGGUUAUUCCACCAUGUUUCAGAAAUUUAACUGCAAUGGCCACAAAAACCAAAAUCAAUAGUGAACUUAUUUCGUGGCCAAUCCUUGGACAUUCAUUAAUUUUAGAGCAUUAUUGGUGAUGAAAGGGCGAGAAGAUGAAUAUGAGACCACACAAGGACUUGUUACUAGCAUGACCUUUCUGCUAACAGUCUCACAGGAGAGAUCUCCAAAGAAAUUGCAAGUCUUAUUGGGCUGUGAUCAUUAAAUUUGUCAGGGAGGCGACAUGGAGUUAAUAGAAUCUCUUGAUUUUCUGAUGAAUCAAUUGAAUGGUGAAAUCCCUCGAAGUUUUUGAAUUUCUUGAAUCACUUCAAUGUCUCCUACAACAACUUGGUAGAAUAAAUCUCAACAAGCACUCAACUUCAAAGCUUUGAAAACUUGUCUUAGGUGGGCAAUGAUAUUUGUGGACCUCUUCUCACUAAGAACUGCACCACAAAAGGUUUUUCAACUGAUGUUACAAAUAAUGGAGAUAGCAAUAAAAGAAGUAAAGUGAAUUGGCUUUAUGUCAGCAUAAUUCUUGGCUUUGUAAUGGGAUUUUGGGGUGUGGUGGCUCCCUUGUUUUUAAUCAGAACUUGGAGGUAUGCAUAUUAUCAAAAGUUGGAUCAUGUUGGUCGGAAGUUGUGUCUUGAGCUACUAUGGGUACGUAAUUUGAUGAAAAAAAAACAUGUAUAAUUAAGAUUUGUGUUUUAUAAUUGAUUAUAUAAUCUUCAGAUCUCAGAUCUAGGAACUAAUAAUUUUGAGUUUAGAUUUUGGUACUCAGUACAUGAUUGGUAUUUUUCCUUUUGCAAUAAUUAAUGUCAUUUCAAGCUUGUAUAAUUUAAUGAAAGUGUGUUUUGACAAUGAAUGAUUAGGUUAAAGAGUGCAAUAGGGUAAAUUUUUACUAACUUUUGUCCAGCUGAUUAACUUCAACAAUAUACAAAUCCAUCAUAUCUUGUUAACUUUAUCUGUUUCUAGAAACUUUUGUGAGGAAUUCAAAAAAUCAUGCUCGCCUCUCAUUUAGUAAAUUUCUUCUCUCUUUUUUUCCCUAGGGUGUCAAAAACCUUUUUUUAAACGAUUUAUAUUUCGAAAACGAAAAUGGGAGUCACCACCAAUCUCUUUUAUGAGGUGUGAUUGGAUCACCUCGUAAUUUGAUUGUUUUAAUAAAAAGGCUUGAUCCACUAAAACAAUGAUUUUUGGUCUACAAAAUUCAGGAAAUGGGUUUGGGAGUCGGUUAUGCACGAGGAAGGAUUAGCACCCUCAUUACACCCAAAAUUGGUACCUAAUUGAUUACUUGAUGUCUUAAUGUCGAAAAUUGAAAAUUUUAAGAGAAUUUAAAAUGUGAUCCCUUCGUAUUAAGAUAUUUUAAUAGAAAAGGUUUUAUUCUGAAUUAAUCGAGAAGAAGGAUCAUGUCCCGUCAAUUAGGACAUGACACCUUUAGUUUUCGAAAAUCAAAAUACUCGCUGUGUAAAUCGUUACUUAAAUGGAUAUUCGACUAUUUCAGUUUUAGAAAGAAGCCAUACUCCAUAAGUUUGGAGCACGACUUUUCUAAUUUCAAAAACAAUGAACAUUGCCACGAUUUGAAAAUUUUACCUUUUUUGUGCAACAUGCAAGAAAAACAAACGUAAUACUUAAAACGAUAUGCAUUUUACUUAUUCGGGCAUAAUAUACACGUGGAUAAAUGCUUAAAUUUAACGUAUGAUAUGGUGAUAGCGAAAUAAUAUAAGAUGGCCUAUGUGGGUAGAUAACAAAACAAAUAAAGUAACUUAUUUGAAAAUAAAAAAUAAAAUGAAAGGGAAGUAUAAGUAAUAUCAAAUUUAAAUAUUUAAAAUAUAAAAGAAUAAUAAAUAAAUAGGAAAAAAAUUAGAAAUAUAAUAUUAAAUAAAUAGGCAAAACAAAUAAUGUUAAAUUUAAGUAUUUAAAAAGUAAAAGAAUAAAUAAAUAAAUAAAUAAGUAAUAUUAAAUUUAAGUAUAUGAGAAAUAUACUUAAAAAUAAAAAAUAAUAAUGACAAUAUACAUAAAUGAAAAGAAUAUAAACAAUAUUUUUUUAAAUAUAUGAGAAAGAAUAAAGAAAGAAUAAAUAAAUAAGUAGAUAAAUAUAAAAGAAAACAAUUUAAUAAAGAUUAAAAAUAAAGGACUAAAUCGAAAUUUAAAUGAAAUUAAGGGCAUAAAUUAGAAAAAGAAAAAGAAAUAUAUAAAUAAAUAGGCUAAUAAGGACUCAAAUGGAACACGCUAAAAGAGACAGGGACCGAGUGGGAAAAUAUCCCAAACUUUCCUAUGCGCAUCAUUUAAAAGGACCAAAAUAAAAAAAUUUAAAAUUUAAGGGGAUAAAUUAAAAAGAAAAAAAGAAAUAGGACUAUAUUGAAAAAUUCUUAAAAAGUAGAAGGACAAAAAGCAAAAUAUCCCCCUUUUUAAAAAAAGCCAGAUCUUGAGGCCGGUCGGGUCGAUAAUUGUGUCGAUCUUCAAAACGACGUCGUUUUGGCGUCUGUGACUUAAGCCCAAAAUGACGUCGUUUUGAAGGGCUAUAUAAGUGAAAAAAUUAAUUAAAAAAAUCACUUUUGUCUGUUAAAAAAAACUUUUCAGCCUUUUUUUUCUCUCAGUCUUCCCCACUCCGGCCACGGCACUGGCGAGCUUCUGCCGACGGCCAUUGGUCGCUAAUGACUGCUCUGCCAUUCCCAGUGGCCGAAAAACCUAAAAUGCCCCUUUUGCUUAUAUUUUUUGUAGAACUCCGAUUUGGAGUUAAAACUACCAAAAUCAAAGCCAAAGUUCCAGAAAAAUGAGAAGACUCCUCGGCUCCAGUGGCAAAAAACAACCACCAAGUGAGAUCUUUUUUCUUUUCUUUAUAUUUUAUCUUUUUAUAUAUAUAAAAAUACAUUCAAAGAAAAAAGGAAAAGAAAAAAGAUCACCUUUGAAUUUUUUUCGAUUGCUUUGUUUUUUUUUUUUUGAUUUCUAUUUUUUUGAUGAAAAAAAAACCACAUACAAUCGAUUUUUGUAAGCUUUUUAUAGCCAAAUUACAACAUUAUUUUUCUAUUUUUUUUCUACUUUUUGCUACUGUUCUUGCAUGUUUUUUGCAAGGGUAGUUCACGAAGCAAUUGGUGGCAGGUGCUAGGAGCGGCGGGCAAAGGCUAGGGUGCGCUAGGGUUUUUGUUGUUGUUUUUUUUUUUCUUGAAAAUUGUUUAGUUUGUUGGGCCAUUGGGCCUUUAAUUAGACUUCAAACUUUUCAUUAUUGACGUGACAUUAAUUUAUAUUUAUGUCACAUUUACAAAUAAUUUUAAAACUAUAAAAAAAAUAUUCAAUAAAUUAUAAACUUGACAAGGAAGUUGGACAAAGUCUAUGGAGUAACUUCAAGUCCCAUGAUAUGACCUGCCAAUUAAGAUUUUUUAGGUCUUUAAAAUGAAAAGAAAGGAAAAUGAAAAUUUUAGAAAAACAUAUAAUUUGAUUAAGAUUUUUAUUUUUACAUUUAUAUUUUGGUUAAAUCAAAUCAAAUUUUAAUUUAUAAUUGACUAAAAUUAUGCAAAUUGUUUAACAAGCUCAUGACCGAAGUCAGUGGGGAUCUAAAUAAACGUAUCAAGGAACUACCUAUAUUAGCACAUUUAGUGAUGUGAUCUGCAACACCAAGAGUUUUUGGGAUAUGUCGGAUACGAAUCUCCCAUUUCCGACGCAAUACUUGAUGUAACAGCCACAGUUCCACUAAAUUACUACUAGCUCCUUCACCAGACAAAAGCAAUUCAACCAACAAAGCAUUAUCACACUCAACUUCAACUUUCCGAAAUCCUUUAUCCCAAGCUAAGAAUAAUACUUCCAACAUUGCUCUUGUUUCAACUUUAAAGACUGACUCAUAUUUAAUUUUUUUUAAAUGUUUAUAUUGUGAAUUGUGGGUAAUAUUUUUAUAUUUGUGUGCUCAUAUUACAUUUCAUUUUCAUAAGAUUAUGAAGGAUAUUGAAGUUUUAGUUACAUUCUAAUACGAAUUUCAAUCAUCCAAUUGAAUUUGCUACUUUCUUUCUCUACCUAACGUGGAAUUUAGCAAGCUUUAAAAUUCCUCAAGUAGCGUUGAUGAAGUCAAGUCAACAAAGUCUAUGGAGUAAGUCUCACUCCUCGGCAUGCUCUGUUUACUCGCUGAUAUUUUCUUCAUUAUAUACAGUAAGCAAAGAAGAAAAACCAUCACUAAUAUCUUUUCAAUUUAAUAGCUUUCAUACCAUUUUCAUUAAUAAAUAUUAUCUUUUACUCCGUUGAUUGUGCUUCACUGAAUUUUUCAAUAAAUAUGAUUGAUGGGGUUUUUUAAAGGUAAAUUUCAGAUAUAGGAAGGAAAAGGAAAAAGAAAAAGAAUGGCAAUGUUGGGCAUGAACAAAGGAAAGAAGAUGGAGAGAUCAAAUUCAUCACAAAGCUACAAACAACUCUAAAAAUAAAAUAUUAUUAAAUAUGUUAUUGAGGUUUAUUAUUAAGUAAAAAAAGCAAUGAUUAAAGUUAGGGGUGAAGCCAGAACAACUUUUCAGAGGGGCCGAAUGAAAUUUUAAUUUUUUAUAGUUUAUAUCUUUAUAACUUUUAAAAGAGUAAAUCGAAUUUUUAUAAUUUUAGGGGGUCAAAAUGUAAUUUUACCUUUACUAAUUUAAAAUUUUAAAAAAAUUAAGGACUUAAAUAGCAAUUUUAUAUUUUAAGGGGGCCGUGCCCUUGCCAGCUGCCUAGAUUCACCGCUGAUUAAAAUUCUUGUCAGAUAUUUAUUUGGUACGGAUUCAAACCAUAUUUUCCUUAUCCCUUACCUUUAAUAUUAUAAUAAAAAAAAACCUAUUGCAGCGUCAAAUUUUCUUCCAUGUCUUAAUGAAUUAGUUAAUCAAAUUUUACUCAUAUUCGUUUAGAUUUUGCUAAUCAAAAUUAAUUAUUGUUUUAAAUGAUUAAAUAUAAACACAUUAUAAUUGUCGAAACUAUAAAAAUGCUAACAGGUUACGAUAUAUUUUAUUUUUUUUAUGUUUAUUAAAUGCACCUUAUUGUACUCUUUAACCCAACAACAUUUUCAUUAUUGACAUACAAUUAAACACAAUCACACAUCAUGAAAGCUCUAAGUUCAAAAAAUUGAACAAGCUUGAAAUGCUAUUCAGUUUUGCAAAAGGGUCUAAACUCGAAGUCAAGAUCGAUUGAUUCAUGUAAUCCCUUUUAAAAUAUAGCAUUUAAUAGAUUUGAGAUCGAAAUCCUAUAUAAUCAAUUACAUACACAAACUUUAUUUAUACAUAUUUUGUUUUUCAUCAAACUAUAUACCAAUAGUAGCCCAAAACACAUAGUUUACCAUAGACAUUGUCCAGCUUUCGAUAGUAUGCAUGCCUCCAAGACCUGAUGAAAAACAAGGGAGCCACUACACCCCAAAAUCCCAUUACAAAGCCAAGAACUAUGCUGACAUAAAGCCAAUUCACUUUACUUCCUUCACUGUUACUUCCAUUAUUUGCUACAUCAGUUGAAAAACCUUUUGAGGUGCAAUUUUUAGUGAGAGGAGGUCCGCAAAGAUGAUUGCCCACGUAAGACAAGCUUUCAAAGCUUUGAAGCUGAGUGCUUGUUGGGAUUUGCCCUAUCAAGUUGUUGUAAGACACAUUGAAGUGAUUCAAGAAAUUCAAUUUGGAAAAACUUGGAGGGAUUUCACCAUUCAAUUGAUUCCUCGACAAAUCAAGAGAUUCCAUCAACUUCAUGUUGCCAAUUUCGUCCGGUAUAUUUCCUAUUAGGAGAUUCCCUGAUAGAUUUAAUGACCGUAGCUCAACGAGACUUCCAAGUUCUUUUGGGAUCUCUCCAAUUAGUCUAUUAGUUGAAAGGCACAUGCUCGUAACAAGCCCUAGUGUGGCACCGUAUUCGUCCUCUCGUCCUUUCAGCACCAAUAAUGCACUCAAAUAAAGGAAAUUAGUACUGAUACUCGACCACUGAAACAUAUAGCAGUGCUGGUUGCUUUUGUUAGCCAUUGCACUAAAAUUACUAAAACAUUUUGGAAUAGCUCCUGAAAUGUUGUUAUGGCCAAGGUCCAAGAUCCGAAGAGAUUGAAGUUGACAAAUUUUUUGAGGAAGGUGGCCAUCAAAGUUAUUCGAUCGAAGGCUUAGAAUCUCAAGUUUUGAGAGCUUGUCCCCAAUCCAUGUUGGUACACUUCCACUGAAAUGAUUGUCACUAAGAUCAAGCAUAAUCAACCUCGUAGAAUGUUGCAACGUAGAUGGUAAUUCUCCAGACAUGCCAUUGCUACGAAGGUUUAGCACUAAAAGAUUUAAAUGUCCCAAAGAAGGUGGGAUUUUUCCGGUCAAUUUGUUGUUUUCCAAAUUCAAGUAACCCAAACCUCGCCAAUGAUCCCAGCAAUCUGGGAUUUCUCCGGAGAGAAGAUUUGUUUCAAUGGCAAGAAUUCUCAUUGGUCCCUUUCUUAAUGAGUAACAAACUAAUUCAACAAGCCGGCCUGAAAAUGAAUUAUUUGACAAAAUUAAAAUUUGUAAAGCUGGGAAUACUCUUGGUAAUGGGCCUGUGAAUCGGUUUGAACUCAAGUCAACAAUUUCUGUCACGUUCAAAUAUGAAAUCCCUCCAGUAAGUUGAUUACAGGAAAGAUUUACAUAUUCAAAUUGAGUGGACAAGUUCAAAAGCCAAGUGGGCAAGAUAUCCGAAAUUCCUGCAUCCGAGAUAUCUAAAACAGAUAAAUUCUUUUGGAAUUUUAACCAUCGAGGAAACUUCGGGCCAAGAUGCCAUUGCCCCAAUCUGAUAAUUCGGCAUUGAAACGGGGGAAUCCAGCUUGAGUUUGGUUCAAAUCUCAGCCUGUUCUGUGAUGCCGCUAGAGUUGUCAAUCUCGUGAGAUUAGAAAAAUGGGUUUCCGACACAACUCCUUCCAAUUGGUUACACCCCAAAUCCAGAGUUUCCAAACUUUUCAGUUGGCCAAAACAUAGAGGAAAAGUACCAUUUAAUUGAUUUUCUGAAACAUUAAACAACUUCAAAGAUGAUAACUCCCCUAUGGACAAUGGAAUGGGACCAGAAAUAUUGUUUCCAGCAAGCGACAAGUGAGCUAGGUUUUUAAAAUGCCCAAGUUGAUCAAUUAAAUGGCCAAAAAGAUGGUUAUGUGCCAUAUCCAAUGACUCUAAGCAAUCCAAACAACAUCUAGACAGACUCAGAAGGAUUUGUGAUAUGUCUUGAUCAAUUUCAUUGCUCGAAAGAUUAAGGAAUUGAAUAUGAUACAAACUAAACAAAGAGGUGGGUGUGGAUGAAUUGAGUGAGUUCCCACUAAGAUCAAGAACUUCAAGAAGUGAGAUGUUCGUAAAAUAAUCUGGAAUUGGGCCUUGCAAGGAAUUGCCACUAAGAUCAAUGGACACAAGAUCAUGAAGACCAAAUAUCGACAUAGGUACUGAAGAAAAGUUGUUCUCAGAAAGAUCAAGAACAACCAGUGAUUUUGUAGAAUUGACACUGAUCGGGGAUGCAUCAUCUUCCAAACUGCAAGCUGACAAGUGCAACUCUAACAAUGAAGGAUGUUGGAAUGUUACCUGUAGCCAAUCUGUUGCUUUACUAAGAUCCGCAUGACUCAAAUCAAGGUACUGCAAGGAAGAAAGUCCGGAAACCCAUUGAAGGCUUUUUGGUUUGAGAUCAUUACCUCCAAGAUCAAGAUACUGCAACUUUGAAAGAUUCCCCAGGUUAUGAGGAAUUGCUCCCUGGAAUCGUGCUUGAGAGAGGUUAAGAUAUGAUAAACUCUCCAGCAAACCGAAAAAAUUCGGGAUCUGUAUGCCGCUAAAAUUGUUAUUGCUCAAGUCCAGGGAACUGAGAUGCUUCAACUCCAGCAGUGAAGGAUUUAUUUUGCCUCCUAGCAGGGAAUUGUUCUUUGAUCGAUGGUAAGCUUCCCAUUCAGCAACUGGUGCAUCAAAAUGGGGCACUGAAAGAGGAGCAGCCAAGUGCAGUUGGUUGAUAUAGCCUGUUGAGUUAUGGCACACGACACCGAGCCAUUUACAGCAACCCCCACCUUCAACCCAAGAAGACAACCUGUUUGAAGGGUCAACGAGAUCAUUCUUGAACUUCAAAAGGGCUUUUCUCUCACUUUCAAAGCAAAGCACAUUGGAAUUGGCAUCACAAAAGCUAAAACAGAUAGCUAGAAUGACAAGAAGAAAUGGGAAUAAGGUAAUUGUAACACUUUUCAUGGUUGCGAUGGUACCAACCAUUGGUUGCAACUCCAAAUAUAUAGAGUAAGCUUAGUAAAACAAAAGUAUUGUGCACAUACAUCAAGCAGAAAGAAGUUUCUUCCAAAUUUCCACAAAAUGAAUUUAAUUAAUAAUAGUCUAUCAGAAAUUUCCAGUCAAAUAUGAACACCACUUUAUCCAAAAUGAAAUUACAUAUCCAUAGUGCUGGACUGAGAUAGAGUAAGCUAAAACAAAAACAUUGUCCACAUCAUAGGCAAGGAACUUUUUUUCAGUACCCCAAAAUUCCAACAUGAAUUUUCCAAAAAGAAAAAACUAUAAAUUUGUCAAUUUUAAUAAAUUUGGACAGAAAAAACAAAAUAGAAUUAUUAAUUGUUCAUGCGAGAUGCAAUGUUGAUAUGAUGUCACAUUAUUAAUUUAUUCCUAAUUAUAAAUAAUUUAAUAGAUUUAAUCCUCUACUUUUACAAAUUCUAUUAAUUUGAUACGUAAACACAUAUAAUUAAAUACAAAUAUAAUUAAAUAAUUAUUAUAUAUUAUGAAAAAGUAUAAUGUAAUAUUAUUUACAUUAUUUUAUAUCAACACAUACUCUGUAUCUAAUACUUACACCUGAGUCCAAUAACAUGAUCCUAAACAAUAUUAUUAGAUUAGUGACUUGUGCUUUCAGGAAUCAAAGAACGAAAAAGCAAAAACAACAUAUAGUGACUGAAAAACACAAAUAACCACACAAUGAAUGAUGAAAGACUCUACUAAAUUUAACUUGCAAAAAUAAGAACUUCAAUUAAAUUCUUUGCUUUUAAGAGAUUAGUGUGUUGUUAAGCUAGUUAUGAAGCUUGCUAAAGAAUGUGAUUUUGAGGAGAUUAAGGUUAACAGUUCAGUAAUUCUUGAUGCUGAGAAAGCUAAAGUCACCAUGUUGACAACAAAAAAGUUUACAGAAGCUUCAAUCAUCUUUAGUUUCGUGCUUAUAAAUUUCGUAUUUAAUAAGGUGCCUUAAAAAUUUUGCACUGAUUAUAUAUAAUAAUAUUAUAAUUUUCCUUAAAAUAGAUUCAAAUAAUAUUAUAUAUUUUACAUUUUCAUAAUUAUAUAAAAAUUAUUUAAUUAUAUUUAUAUUUAUUUAUAUGUAUUUAAGGAUCAAAUUGAUAAAAGUUAUAAAUAUAAAAAACUAAAUGUGUCAUUAUCCAAUUAAAAAAAGACUAUAUCUUCACUUUGGUGACCAAACAUAAAUUUUUCUUCACUACCCCAAAUUUCCAGCUUAAAUUUUCCGCAGAAAAGCUAUAGAUUUGUCAAACUUAAUAGAGAAAUUGUUCACGCGAAUAAUUCAUAUGUAUUUCAUAAUAUUUUGAAAUUAUAUUAUUUUAUAUCGAAAUGAUAUCAUAAUAUUAUUGUAUUUUAUAUUUCAGGUAUUUAGCGAAAUAAAAUAAAAUUAUAAUCAAUUGAAUGUUUCUUUUUGGGAAGUUCUAAUUAAUUGCUUUAAAAUUUUGAUAUGUCGAUAUUUAAUAUAUAUAAUAUGAGAUUAUAAUAAAGAGAAAUAAAUAAUUAUGAUUACGUUACAUUUUUUAUUUGAAACACAUAUUUACAAUUUGAGAAAUUUACUCUUUUCUUCCUUGUCACCUGUAAACAAGAGAAGAAAAUAAGGAAAAACUAGGAGUAACGAAGGCUAGCUUACCUGUAAAGAUCGAGAGCUAGAAUAAGGACAAGAAGACAGACCGAUUAAGAGGAUAAGUGUUUAGAGUAACUCAGUCCCCUUGUCUAUUGGUAUGAUAUGACUAAAUAAGCAUUCAAUUUUGUUAAAUGUGUAAUGGAUAACCAUAGGUGCAUUUAAGGGAUUCUAUUAAUAUGAGGUAGUCAAGCUUAAAUAGACUCCUUAAUAUCUUGAAAAUAUGUUCAAAUUAGGAUAGUGUCCUCUUUUAAGCUCGGGUGAUCCUACUUAAGAAGUCAAUAUAGAAUUAACCAUGCUAUGCUGACACUUCGUUUGUUUUAGUUGAAUAUUGAUGAGUCUUUGUCCUAUUUGGUUGCUUAGAAGACUUAAAAUGGCAUACUUGUGUAAAGAUAACGAUGAAUCAGUCAUCAUCAACCUGUUUACUAUAUUACUUAAUUUGUCAAUAAAAUUGAAUUGUAGUUGGCUUAUGAUUGGAUGGGUUUUGUCUUUCUUUGGGACAUAAAUUUCAGUCACUGUGCAAUAUGGGAUAAGAUACCUGUUGAUUAUAUUACCUAAUUUGUAUGAAAUUGAACUGUUGUUGGCUUAUGAUUGGAUGGGUUUUUCUCAUUGGGAGGUAAUUUUCAGUCACUGUUGUAACAGGAUUUUGCUUCUUAGACCUGGCACACACUUACAUGUUCUUUUUGCAUUUCAUGAAAAAGUUAAAUUAUCUAAUUAAAUUGAUAAAAUGUGUAAAUAUAGAAAACUAAAUGUGUCAUUAUCCAAUUAAAAAAAAGACUAUAUCUUCACUUUAUUGACCAAACAUAAAUUUUUCUUCACUACCCCAAAUUUCCAGCUUAAAUUUUCCACAGAAAAGCUAUAAAUUUGUCAAACUUAAUAGAGAAAUUGUUCAGGCGAAUAAUUUAUAUGUAUUUCAUGAUAUUCUGAAAUUAUUUUAUUUUAUAUCGAAAUAGUAUCAUAAUAUUAUUUUAUCUUAUAUUUUACGUAUUCAACGAAAUAAAAUAAAAUUAUAGUCAAUUGAAUGGGAAAGUUCUAAUUAAUUGCUUUAAAAUUUAAACAUGUCGAUAUUUAAUAUAUAUUAUAAUAAUAUGAGAUUACAAUAAAGAGAAAUAAAUAAUUAUUUUCACGUUACAGUUUUUUUGACACAUGACAUUUGUCAUUUGAAACACAUAUUUACAAUUUGAGAAAUUUACUCUUUUCUUCUUUGCCUUUUAAUUUUUUAAGUCAUUCCAUACUUUUUUUUAUUUUUUUUCUUAAUAAUUUUUUUUGUUAAAUAUAUAAUUUAUUUUAAAUAAAUUAUUUAUUUAUUUUAAUACCUUACUUAAUUGAAUUAAAUUUUAAUGUUAUCAUAUUAAAAUUAAUGAAUAUUAAUUUGUUAAGUUUAAAAUAUAGUUUUAAAAAAAGAAACAUAUUAAGAAUAUUAUUAAAUUAAAUUUUUAUUUUUCAAAUAUAAUAAGAGUUAAUUAUAUUAAUUGAUUAAAUUAGAAAAAAAAGAUAAAUAUAAAAUUACAAAUAUUGAAUAUUAACAAUUUUGACAUUAAAGUAAAUUAAUUUUUAACAAUAUAUAUAAUAAAUAAUAGGUAAGAAACUAUUAAUAAUAUUAUUUAAAUUAUAAUAUAUUAAUAUUAAUAUUCAUGAUGAAUUUUUUGUAUUAUUUUAAUAUUAAAUAUUUUUAAAACCUAACUAAUUGCAAUAUAAUUAAUUCUAAAAUAAGUAGAUAUUUGCCUUUGUUGAUACAGAUCGAGAGCUAGAAUAAGGACAAGAAGACAAACCGAUUAAGAGGAUAAGUGUUUAGAGUAACUCUAGGGUGUCCCAGUCCAUAGUUUUUCAAGGUACUUAUAGGAAACGUCCCCUUGUCUACUGGUAUGAUAUGACUAAAUAAGCGCUCAAUUUCGUUAAAUGUGUAAUGAAUAAUCAUAGACACAUUUAUAGGAUUCUAUUAAUAUGAAGUAGUCAAGCCUAAAUAGACUCCUUAUUAUCUUGAAAAUAUGUUCAAAGAUCCUACUCAAAAAGUCAAUAUAGAAUUAACCAUGCUAUGCUGACACUUUAUUUGUUUUAGUUGAAUAUGGAUGAGUCUUUGUCCUAUUUGGUUGCUUAGAAGACUUAAAAUGGUAUACUUGUGUAAACAUAAUGAUGAAUCAGUCAUCAUCAACCUGUUUAUUAUAUUACUUAAUUUGUCAAUAAAAUUGAAUUGUAGUUGGCUUAUGAUUGGAUGGGUUUUCUCUUUCUUUGGGACAUAAAUUUCAGUCACUGUGCAAUAUGGGAUAAGAUACCUGUUGAUUAUAUUACCUAAUUUGUAUGAAAUUGAAUUGUUGUUGGCUUAUGAUUGGAUGGAUUUUUCUCUUUGGGAGGUAAUUUUCAGUCAUCGUUAUAACAGGAUCUUGCUUCUUACACCUGGCACACACUUACAUGUUCUUUUUGCAUCAUGAAAAAGGUUAAAUUUUAGUUUUGAUCCUUUUAAUAUGCUUAAAUUUAUAACAUAUAUGUAAAAGAAGUGGAAAGGACCUUCCUUGACAUCACUUACAUGUUCUCUUUUUCUUUUCUUUUCAUAAAAAAGGUUCAAAUUCAGUUUUGGUCCUUUUAAUAUGUUUAAACUUAAAAUUUAGAUCCAAAGGACCUUCCUUCUAACACGUGGCACACACUUACAUGUUCUCUUUCUUUUUUAUUGCAUUUCAUAAAAAGGCUAAGUUUCAGUUUGGUCCUUUUAAUAUGUUUAAAUUUAAAAUUUAAUUCAUAUAUUUUAAUUUUUAAUAUAAUUUGAUCAUUAUAUUUUUAAUAUUAUUAAUUUAUACUUUUUUUGCAUUUUUACAUUAUAAUAUAAUGGUCAAAAUUCAAUUUGGACAUCUAUAUUAUGCUGAAACUUAAUAUUUAAUAUUCUAUAUACUUUAAUUUUUAUUUAAUUUGAUUCUCCUACUUCUAUAAUGUCGUUAUUUAGUCUAAAUAGUUAAUUUUGUUAACAAUUUCAAUCAAAAUGGUAUCGCCAUUUUUUCUUAAGAACACUACAACAAAAAUAUUAAUUUAUCAUAAUGAGUUUGAAUGGGUACUUUAAAAAAAAUAUAUUGAUUGCUAUUUUCAAUAUUAUUUUCUUGUUACAAGAGUAAUAAGAGAACUUUCUUUCUUCUUUUUUUUCGUUUCUAAAUGUCACACUAGUAAAUUUAGUAGAUGAAUUUUAACACAAUGCUGAUUAUCGCACUAAAUUUUUAAAUUCAAAAAAUAAAAAGACAAAAUCCUUAAAAAGGGGACUGAAUUCCAAAUGUGCGAUAUGUAUAAAGACUUAAAACUUAGUUUAAUCUUUAAAUUUUUACUUCAUAAUUUAAUAAAACAAUUCAUCAAUCAGACGCAAAGCGUUAAAACCAUCUAGUAGGAAAAAGAGAAGAACCAUGUUGGGUUUGAACAAUGGUGUUGUUGAGAUGGACCAUAUAAAAACAAAGAUCGCGGUUGUCAAUUCAUCAAUAGGGCAAGAUUUAUUUUUAGAUUUAUAAUGUCAACUUUGUCAAUUUCGUUCUUGCCUUAUUGCCCUCUUUAACACAAUAGCAUCUUCACUAUUGAAAUACAAUAAAACAAAACCAUACAAUACAUCAUCAGAGCAUACUUCCAAUAAAUUAUACAAGCUCGAAAUGUCAUUUAUUCUUGCAAAAAAGGGAAAGCAUGAAUAAGUAUCGAGUACUAUGAUGACAUAAAGCCAAUUCACUUUACCUCCUUCAUGGCUACCUCCAAUAAUUGUAACAUCAACCAUAAUAUCCUUUGUGGUGCAUCUUUUAGUGAGAGGAGGUCCAUGUAAGAAAAGUUUUUAAAGCUUUGAAGUUGAGUGCUUGUCGAGAUUUGUCCUGUUGUAGAUCAAGUUGAAGAGAUUUUAGAAAUUUAAAUUAGAGAAAUUUGGACGGAUUUCAUCGUUGAUUAAUCGACAGAUCAAGAGAUUCCAUUAACUUCAUGUUGCCAAUGUUGUUUGGUAUAUUUCUUAUUAGGAGAUUCUUUGACAAAUUUAAUGAUAGUAGCCCAACGAGAGUUUCAAUUUCUUUGGAGAUCUCUCUUGUGACAUUAUUAGCUGAAAUGUCUAUGCUGGUAGCAAGUCUUGGUGUGGUACUCUAUUCAUCUUCUCAUCCUUUCAACACCAAUAGUGCACUCAAAUGUAUUUAUGUCCCAUUUUGAUAAUUCAAAUAUAGAAAUAAUUUCGUUUUAACAAGACACGAACCGAGCAACAACUUUCACAAAAAAAAAAAAAAUUAAAUUAGUACCUAACUGAAAGUACAUAAAUUUUAAUUCAUAAAAUAUUAUAUAUUACAAUAGUUAGAGAUUGUAUAUGUAUUUUCUAUUGAUAUUAGGAUUUAAAUUUUAUGCUAUGCUUUUAUUUAUAUUUAUAUUUUAACUUUAUAUUUUAUAUUAGUAUAAUAUAGUAAAAAUUAUUUUAAUCAUAUUUCAACAAAAAUUAUCAAAUUAGAUUAUCAUAUCAUAAUUUAAUAAUCGCAUGAGAGGUCAAAAGUAGUUCAUAUAAAAGAACAAAGAAAAGAAAACCUAACCAACAUCACUAAAUAUAAACACGUCCUUACAUUUUCAUAAUUUCCUAUUGUUUUAAUCACUACAAUAUAUGUAUAAAGGUUUAUAUUAUGCUUUAGUUAAAUUACACCCAAAUUCACUUUAAAAUAUGGUUUUUCAUAUUUUGAUCAUUUUAAAUUUUUUUAAUUUAAUCACUCUAAUUAAGAUAAUUAUUUGAAUUAAUCACGACAUUAAAAAUUCUAUCAAUUUAAUAAAAAAUUGUUAAUCUGACAUAUUAAUCAAUUGAAAGAUUCAUAGGUCAAUUUUUUUUUUUUUGACAAAGCUUACAUACCUCUGUAUGAUUAAUCAAAACAUUUUUUUUUCCUUUUAUCUUCUCUCCAUAACUCAAAAUGGAGAAAUCAAAAUAGGGCAUCUCAAAGCUACCUAUGUUUCACCAUUCUUUCAACAAUAAAUCUAUGAUAACGGUUAGAAUUAAGUGACCCGAAUCCUUAUUAAAAUAAAGUACAGUGGUAAAAUAAAAUAAAAGUAAAAUCCAUAUAGAACUAUACUUUUAUUUUAUUUUAGAAUAAGAUUUUUCAACUUUAUUACACUUCAUCUAUUGAUAUUGAUUAGAAUUAGGUGUUUAAAUCUUACUACACUCUUUUUAUUAGAAUAUGGUUUUACAAGCCUAUAAAUAGACACCUCUUCUUGUAAUUAUUCGAAUUCGACAUAGCGAAUUAUCUUCUCCCCUGCCUGUUGUUUUUUCUCAAAAAGGAUUCCACGUAAAAUCUGUUUGUUCUUUAUUUUUAUUUUUACUCUUUUCUUUAUGAUGCAUUGUCAUUAUCAACGUUAUAUUUAUCACAGCAACUAUCAAGAAUAACCCACCAUACAUCCACAAAUAAUUAAGGAGGAAUGAACAUAUAUAAAAACCCCAAUCAAAAUCUACACGAAUCUGACGGUCAUCAAGGAUUGUCCCACUAAUGUAAUUAACAACAUCCUCUGCAUCUUCCCUAGAAUGAUUCCUGAUGGAAAAUAAAAAACCCAAUAACCAAUUAAGAGCUUUAAAAUAAAUAUUAACAUGAUUUAAAGGAGGAAAACAAGAGAGAGAGAGUUACAAGACAAAGCAAAAGCCACAAGGUGUUUUAGAGGUCUUGUUAAGGCCCAUGUUUAUUUUCUUGAUUUCACCGGAUGUAGAGAAAAGCUCAUAAACUUGUUCUUUAGUAGUGUAAAAAGACACGUUUCCGAUGUAGACAGUUGUCGAAGUGAGGAGUGCUUGCUCGAAUCCCUCUUGCGAACCAUUAAACCUUCCGUCUCGGUACGCUAAAAGCUUAGCUGAGUCCUAUGAUUUAACAAACCCCCCAAAAAAGAGAGAAAAAUUAUCAUUUAACUGAUGUACAUUGAAAGCAAUUAGGAAGCAAUAAGAAAAGAAAAUAUCUUGAACAGAGAAUCCAUUACCUUCUUCAAAAGCUCCCAAAAAUUCGAAUUGCCUGCAUAUAACGAAUUAUAAAGGUUGAAUUUCUUGCCCUUGCCCUAUCCAUGCCAUAGAUCCAUUCUUAUUUAUAUAUGUUCACUCUUCUUUAAUUAUUUGUGGAUGUGUGGUGGGUUAUCCUUGGUAGUUGCCAUAGAUCCAUUGUUGAGAAACUGGUGAAGGGCAUGUAGCUUUGAGAUGCCCUGUUUUGGUUUCUCCUUUUUCAGCUUCGGAGAGAAGAGAAAGGGGAAAAAAUUGUUUAGGAUUAAUUAUAGAAAGGUCCCUCAGCUUUUGUUAAAAGUCAAAGGAAAGUAUCACGUGUUAUCAUUCAAUUGGCUAAUAUGCCACAUCAACAAUUCGUUAGUAGAUCAAUAGAAUUUAAUGGUUGUGGCUAAUUCAAACAAUUAUCUUGAUUAGAGUGAUUAAAUUGAGAAAAAAAUUAGAGUGACCAAAUAGGACAAACCUUAUUUUAAAAUGAUCUCGUGUGUAAUUUACCCUUAUACUUUUAUGGGCGUCCAAAAUUACUAAUUUUUAUUUUUGAGAGAAAAGAAAUUCAUUAAUGAGAAAAUCACAAAACAGAAGCAAACACAAAGAGGAGAUGGACUACUAAACUCGAGCCAACAGGCUCACCCCAUACACCCAAACUUAUUGUCCGCAAUCCUCAUUCGUAUCAACAUAAGACAUAAUUUUAAAAUUCUUCAAAAACGAUGCAAAGUAACCCUUUCCGUGUGGUUUGCAUGUAACAAAACCGCUCACGCAAGUGAGUAGGCUACCUUGUUGGCACACGACGGGUCCAAAACAAGGAUAGAUGCUAAAACUAAUCUUUCAGCACCAAACAAUCAAGUUGCAGCACACCUAACUCAGAUGCAUCAAUGAUACAUGCUUUUUUCCCAUCAAACUACAUACCCAUAGUAGCCCAAAACACAUAUAGUUUACCAUAGACAUUGUCCAGCUUUCGAUAGUAUGCAUGCCUCCAAGACCUGAUGAAAAACAAGGGAGCCACUACAACCCAAAAUCCCAUUACAAAGCCAAGAACUAUGCUGACAUAAAGCCAAUUCACUUUACUUCCUUCACUGCUACUUCCAUUAUUUGCAACAUCAGUUGGAAUGCCUUUUGUAGUGCAGUUUUUAGUGAGAGGAGGUCCGCAAAGAUGAUUGCCCACGUAAGACAAGUUUGCAAAGCUUUGAAGUUGAGUACUUGUUGGGAUUUGUCCUGUCAAAUUGUUGUAUGACACAUUGAAGUGAUUCAAGAAAUUCAAUUUGGAGAAACUUGGAGGGAUUUCACCAUUUAGUCGAUUCAUGGCCAAAUCAAGAGAUUCCAAAAACUUCAUGUUGCCAAUGUUGUCUGGUAUAUUUCCUGUUAGGUGAUUCCCUGAGAAAUUUAAAGACAAUAGUCCAACGAGACUACCAAUUUCUUUGGGGAUCUCUCCUGUGAAACUGUUAACAGAAAGGUCCAAGUUGGUAACAAGUCCUAGUGUGUGACCAUAUUCAUCCUCUCGCCCUUUCAACACCAAUAAGGCACUCAAAUAAAAUGGGUAAUUAAUGAAAUACAGCGUAGAAAGUUCAUUUUUGGUUUUGUUUGUUGUGGCCAUUGCACUUAAAUUAUUGAAGCAUUUUGGAAUAACUCCUGAAAUGUUGUUGUGGGCAAGGUCCAAAUUUUGAAGAAAUUGAAGAUCACAAAUUUUGUGAGGAAUAUGACCAUCAAAAUUAUUUGACCGAAGGCUUAGAACCACAAGGUUUGAGAGCUUAUCACCAAUCCAGCUGGUACACUUCCAUUGAAAUGAUUUUCACUAAGAUCAAGCAUAAUCAAAUUUGUAGAAUUUUGCAUUGUGGAUGGCAAUUCUCCAAACAUUCUAUUGUUUCGAAGGUUUAACGUUGAAGGAUUUGUUUGUCCCAAAGUAAGUGGGAUUUUUCCUGUUAAAUUGUUAUUUCCUAAAUUUAAAUAAGCUAAAACAUCCCAAUGAUUCCAACAAUCUGGAAUUUCUCCAUUGAGUAAAUUUGUAUCAAUGUAAAGAGUUAUCAUCCCCGUUAAUGAUGGAUUACAAAUUAAUUGAUGAAGGGAUCCUGAAAAUGAAUUAUUUGACAAAAAUAAAAAUCUCAAACUUGAGAGUACUCUUGGCAAUGGACCUGUAAAGCUGUUUGAACUCAAGUCAACAAUGUCUCCCACAUUCAAAUACGAAAUCUCUCCUGUAAGCUGAUUUGAGGAAAGAUUUAAAUAUUCAAAUAGAGUGGGAAGGUUCAAAAACCAAGUGGGCAUGACAUCUGAAAUUCCUACAUGGGAGAUAUCCAAAGACGAUAAAUUCUUUUGGAAUUUUAACCAGUGGGGAAACUUUGGGCCAAGGUUCCAGUGGCCCAAUUCAAUAAUUCGACAUUGAAAUGGGGGAAUCUAGCUUGAGUUUGGUUCAAAUUUAAGCCUAUUGUGUGAUGCUUUCAAAGUUGUCAAUCUGGUGAGAUGACAGAAAUGGGGUUCUAAUACAACUCCCUCCAAUAGAUUAUACCCAAAAUCCAGAGUUUCCAAACUUUCCAGUUGUCCAAAACAUAGAGGAAAGGUACCAUUUAAUUGAUUUUCUGAUACAUCGAAGAACUUCAAAGAUGAUAACUCCCCUAUAGACAAUGGAAUUUGACCAUUUAAUUGAUUUUUUGAAACAUCAAAGAAUUUCAAAGACCAUAACUCCCCUAUGGAUGAUGGAAUGGGACCAGAAAUUUUGUUUUGAGCAAGGGACAAGUAAGAUAGAUUUUUAAAUUGUCCAAGUUGAUCAGUUAAAUGGCCAGAAAGUUGGUUAUCUGCCAUAUCCAAUGACUCUAAGGAACCCGAACGACAUCUAGACAAACUCUGUAGGAUUUCUGAUAUUCCACCUUCAAUUUUAUUGUAUGACAAAUCCAUCUCCUUCAAUUUGCACAGAUAUUCCAGAGAGGUUGGUAAUCUUCCUUCCAACAUAUCAUUAUGAGAAAGAUCAAGAUGAGUAACAGAGCUGAAGUUUCCAAUGGCACUCGAGAUUGUUCCUUGUAACUGGUUAUCACCAAGACUAAGGAACUGAAGAUGGUAUAAACUGUACAUGGAGUUGGGUAUGGAUGAAUUGAGUGAGUUCGAACGAAGAUCAAGAACUUUAAGAAACGAGAUGUUCCCAAAGUAAUCUGGAAUUGGGCCUUCUAAAGAAUUCUCACUAAUAUCAAUGGACAUAAGACCAUGAAGACUAAAUAUCGACUUAGGUACUGAAGAAAAGCGGUUCAAAGAAAGAUCAAGAAUAACCAGUGAUUUUGUAGAAUUAACACUAAUCGGAGAUGGAUCAUCUUCCAAACCACAAUUUGACAAGUGCAACUCUAACAAAGAAGGAUGUUUGAAUGUUACCUGUAGCCAAUCAGUUGCUUUAGAAAGAUCCGCACCACUCAAAUCAAGGUACUGCAAGGAAGAAAGUCCAGAAACCCAUUGAAGACUUUUAACUUUGAUAUCCCACCGGUACAUAGUAUCACCACGAAGAUCAAGAUACUGCAACUUUGAAAGAUUCCCCAGGUUUUGAGGAAUUGUUCCCUGGAAUCCUGCUUGAGAGAGAUUAAGAUGUGUUAAACUCCCCAGCACACCCAAAAAUUUCGGGAUAUGUAUGUUGCUAAAAUUGUUAUUGCUCAAGUCCAGGGAACUUAGAUGCUUCAACUCCAGUAGCGAAGGAUUGAUAUUCCCUCCUAGCAUGGAAUUGUAGUAAGCUUCCCAUUCAACAUAUGGUGCGAAGAAAUCAGGCUCUGAAAGAGGAGAAGUCAAGUGCAGUUGGUUGACGUGGCCUGUUGAGUUUUGGCAGAUGACACCAAUCCAUUCACAGCAAUCCCCACCUUCAACCCUGAAGAUAGCCUGUUUGAAGGAUCAAUAAGAUCAAUCUUGAAUUUCAAGAGAGCUUCUCUCUCACUUUCAAUGCAAAGAACGUUGGAAUUGGCAUCACAAAUGCUAAAACAGAUAGCAGCAAUGAGAAGAAGAAAUUGGAAUAAGGAAAUUGGAAGAGGAGUUGUCAUGGUUGCAAUUGCAUGCUACCAACCAUUGCUCACAACUCCAAACUAACAGAGUAAGCUUAGCUAAAACACAAAAAUAUUGUGCACAUACAUCAAGCGCAAUGAAGUUUCUUCCAAAACCCCAAAUUUCCACAAAAUGCAUUUAAUUUCCACAAAAUUUACUAUCAAGGGAAAAUUUCUAAUUAAUUGCAUUUAUUUUUCAACAAAAUGUAAUAUGAAUUUCUAUUACUAAAAUAAAGAAAUGUUAUAAAACCCAGUCAAACAAAAUGGAUGCCGUGGUCCCUUAAUCAUUUCUUCAUGCAUAAAACAAUAUUAAAUAAAUUAUAAUAAAAAAAUCUAAAAUUAUAAUAAUUAACUAAACUAUAUCACAUCUAAUCUCUUAAUGGACCUACAAAACGAGGAGGAUUAGUCAUUGGGUUCGCUCAAAUAGAUAUCGCAUAUAAGAAUUUUUUAUCUAUUUUUUUUUAAUUUAAAGAAUUUACAUUUUUUAAAUUUUUAAAUUUUUUAAAUUUCUAAAUUUUUAUAUAUUUUUUGAAUUUUUAAAUAUUUUAGAUUUUUUAAUUUUAAAAUGUGACAUAUAAGACAAAAUAAUAUCGUGUAUACAUUCAAUACUUGUGAACUAUCACACGAGGUGUCAUUUCAGUGCUUGGCAUCCAACAUUAGCUACUUAAUGGCUCCAAUUUUGUAAAGGGUAAACUACACCCAAGAUCACUAAACUAUUAGUAUGUUUAUGUUUUGAUCACGCAAUUUUAAAAUAUUUCAAAAUAAUCACUAAACUAUUUAAAAGUUUUCAUUUAAAGCCAAAAAAAAAAUCAAUUCACCAUUCAAAUAUAACCCUUAGUUUCUAUUAAAAUGAAUGAAAUUACAUAUCCAUACUAUUAUAGUAGCAAUUAGAGCUAAUCCUGGGUCGGGUCUCAAUAAAAUUUUAGGUUCAUUUUUUGGCUCGUUUUUUGGCCCGAGCUCGACUCAGCCCAAAAAAUGGGCCUAAAAUUUUGUUCAAUCCCGUCCCGAAUUAUAGAAGCCAAGAUCAAGCCCGGCCUGGCCCAUAUUAAUUUUUUUAGAUGAUUUAUUGUAUACAAUAAAUUUAAAAAAUAUAUAAUAUAUCAAAUACACUUCAAAACAUUAAAACAACAAACAAAUUAAAAAUACAUUAAAAAUUCUGUAACGCCCCAAAUUUUGAACAUAUGUUUGAUAAAUUCUAUCAAUAAAUAAGUCUCUGUAUCUGUAGUUAAGUGUUCUGUUUAUGUGUUAGAGAUCCGGGUUUGAGUAUUUCUUCUUAAAUUUUUACGGUCUAUUUUGGUUCAACCCCUAUUCUUAAACUCCCGACUUAAGUUUAUUUUUACGUUAAUCUGUAUCAAUAAUGAGCCUGCUAGUUCAAUGGUUGAUAAAUGCCAAAAGUAACAUGUUUUAGCCUCAUUCUUAAUGCAUUUUUGGAUGAUUAUUCGAUUUAAAAAUGUGAAUUUUAUGCUCCUAAUCCUUUAAAUUCAUGUUUAUAUACUUAAGAGAGCAUUUGGGAGCAAAAUGAGCAAAACUCUAAAAAUCGGAGCAAGUUUUAGGAGCCACAUGGCCAUGUCUCAGACCAUGUGGAAAUCACGAAUUACACUUCAAAAAGUAAAAAAUAUAUAAUUUUUAGGCUUUUUUGGGCAUUCUAAGACCUAUAUAUGACAAAGAUAAGAAGAUGAGAGAAAACUGUCAUUAAAUGGGUUUUUGGUGUUGGUUUUUUUUUCCUGAAAAUUGUUUAGUUUGUUGGGCCAUUGGGCCUUUAAUUAGACUUCAAACUUUUCAUUAUUGACAUGACAUUAAUUUAUAUUUAUGUCACAUUUACAAAUAAUUUUAAAACUAUAAAAAAAAUAUUGAAUAAAUUAUAAACUUGACAAGGAAGUUGGACAAAGUCUAUGGAGUAACUUCAAGUCCCAUGAUAUGACCUGCCAAUUAAGAGUUUUUAGGCCUUUAAAAUGAAAGGAAAGGAAAAUGAAAAUUUUAGGAAAACAUAAAAUUUGAUUAAGAUUUUUAUUUUUACAUUUAUAUUUUGGUUAAAUCAAAUCAAAUUUUAAUGUAUAAUUGACUAAAAUUAUGCAAAUUAUUCAACAAGGUCAUGACCGAAGUCGGUGGGGAUCUAAAUAAACAUAUCAAAGAACUACCUAUAUCAGCACAUUUAGUCAUGUGAUUUGCAACACCAAGAGUUCUUGAGAUAUGUAGGAUACGAAUCUCCCAUUUUCGACGCAAUACUUGAUGUAGCAGCCACAGUUCCAGUAAAUUAUUACUAGCUCCUCCAGCAGACAAAAGUAAUUCAACCAACAAAGCAUUAUCACACUCAACUUCAACUUUCCGAAAUCCUUUAUCCCAAGCUAAGAAUAAUACUUCCAACAUUGCUCUUGUUUCAACUUUAAAGACUGACUCAUAUUUAAUUUUUUUUAAAUGUUUAUAUUGUGAAUUGUGGGAAAUAAUUUUAUAUUUGUGUCCUCAGAUUACAUUUAAUUUUCAUAUAUGAUUAUGAAGGAUAUUGAAGUUUUAGUUACAUUCUAAUACGAAUUUCAAUCAUCCAAUUGAAUUUGUCACUUUCUUUCUCUACCUAACGUGGAAUUUAGCAAGCUUUAAAAUUCCUCAAGUAGCGUUGACGAAGUCAAGUCAACAAAGUCUAUGGAGUAAGUCUCACUCCCUCGGCACGCUCUGUUUACUCGCUGAUAUUUUCUUCAUUAUAUAAAGUAAGCAAUCAAGAAAAACCAUCACUAAUAUCUUUUCAAUUUAAUAGCUUUCAUACCAUUUUCAUUAAUAAAUAUUAUCCUUUAGUCCGUUGAUUGUGCUUCACUUAAUUUUUCAAUGAAUAUAAUAGUUUUUGGCUUAUGAUUGAUGGGGUUUUUUAAAGGUAAUUUUCUGUCAUUGUGCAAUGCAUGUGGGAUCAGAUAUAGGAAGGAAAAGGAAAAAGAAAAAGAAUGGCAAUGUUGGGCAUGAACAAAGGAUCAAAGAAGAUGGAGAGAUCAAAUUCAUCACAAAGCUACAAUCAACUCUAAAAAUAAAUUAUUAUUAAAUAUGUUAUUGAGGUUUAUUAUUAAGUAAAAGAAGCGAUGAUUAAAGUCAGGGCGAAGUCAGAACAAUUUUUUAGAGGGGACUGAAUGAAAUUUUAAUUUUUUUAUAGUCUAUAUCGUUAUAAUUUUUAAAGGAUUAAAUCGAAUUUUUAUAAUUUUAGGAGAGGCCAAAGUGUAAUUUUACCUUUACUAAUUUAAAAUUUUAAAAAAAACUUUAAGGGCUUAAAUAACAAUUUUAUAUUUUAGAGGGGGCCGGAAGCCUUCCCAGCCCCCUAGAUUCACCACUGAUUAAAAUUCUUAUCAGAUAUUUAUUUAGUACGGAUUCGAACCAUAUUACCCCUAUCCUUUACCUUUAAUAUUAUAAUAAUAAUAAAAACCCUAUUGCAGCGUCAAAUUUUCUUCCAUGUCUUAAAGAAUUAGUUAAUCAAAUCUUACUCAUAUUCGUAUAGAUUUUGUUAAUCAAACUUAAUUAUUGUUUUAAGUGGUUAAAUAUAAACACAUUAUAAUUGUCGAAACUAUAAAAAUGCUAACAGGUUACGAUAUAUUUUAAUUUUUUUUUAUGUUUAUUAAAUGCACCUUAUUGCACUCUUUAACCCAACAACAUUUUCAUUAUUGACAUACAAUUAAACACAAUCACACAUCAUGAAAGCUCUAAGUUCAAAAAAUUGAACAAGCUUGAAAUGCUAUUCAGUUUUGCAAAAGGGUCUAAACUCGAAGUCAAGAUCGAUUGAUUCAUGUAAUCCCUUUUAAAAUAUAGCAUUUAAUAGAUUUGAGAUCGAAAUCCUAUAUAAUCAAUUACAUACACAAACUUUAUUUAUACAUAUUUUGUUUUUCAUCAAACUAUAUACCCAUAGUAGCCCAAAACACAUAUAGUUUACCAUAGACAUUGUCCAGCUUUCGAUAGUAUGCAUGCCUCCAAGACCUGAUGAAAAACAAGGGAGCCACUACACCCCAAAAUCCCAUUACAAAGCCAAGAACUAUGCUGACAUAAAGCCAAUUCACUUUACUUCCUUCACUGUUACUGCCAUUAUUUGCUGCAUCAGUUGAAAUACCUUUUGAGGUGCAAUUUUUAGUGAGAGGAGGUCCGCAAAGAUGAUUUCCCACGUAAGACAAGCUUUCAAAGCUUUGAAGCUGAGUGCUUGUUGGGAUUUGUCCUAUCAAGUUGUUGUAGGACACAUUGAAGUGACUCAAGAAAUUCAAUUUGGAAAAAUUUGGAGGGAUUUCACCAUUCAAUUGAUUCCUCGACAAAUCAAGAGAUUCCACCAACUGCAUGUUGCCAAUUUCGUCCGGUAUAUUUCCUAUUAGGAGAUUCCCUGAUAGAUUUAAUGACCGUAUCGCAACGAGACUUCCAAAUUCUUUUGGGAUCUCUCCAAUUAGUCUAUUAGUUGAAAGGCAGAUGCUCGUAACAAGCCCUAGUGUGGCACCGUAUUCAUCCUCUCGUCCUUUCAGCACCAAUAAUGCACUCAAAAAAAGGAAAUUAGUACUGAUACUCGACCACUGAAACAUAUAGCACUGCUGGUUGCUCUUGUUAGCCAUUGCACUAAAAUUACUAAAACAUUUUGGAAUAGCUCCUGAAAUGCCGUUAUGGCCAAGGUCCAAGAUCCGAAGAGAUUGAAGUUGACAAAUUUUUUGAGGAAGGUGGCCAUCAAAGUUAUUGGAUCGAAGGCUUAGAAUCUCAAGUUUCGAGAGUUUGACCCCAAUCCAUGCUGGUACACUUCCAUUGAAAUGAUUGUCACUAAGAUCAAGCAUAAUCAACCUCGUAGAAUGUUGUAACGUAGAUGGUAUUUCUCCAGACAUGCCAUUGCGACGAAGGUUUAGCACUGAAAGAUUUAAAUGUCCCAAAGAAGGUGGGAUUUUUCCGGUCAAAGUGUUGUUUUCCAAAUUCAAGUAACCCAAACCUCGCCAAUGAUCCCAGCAAUCUGGGAUUUCUCCGGAGAGAAGGUUUGUUUCAAAGGCAAGAAUUCUCAUUGGUCCCUUUCUUAAUGAAUUACAAACGAAUUCAAAAAGCGGGCCUGAAAAUGAAUUAGUUGACAAAAUUAAAAUUUGUAAAGUUGGGAAUACUCUUGGCAAUGGGCCUGUGAAUUGGUUUGAACUCAAGUCAACAAUUUCUGUCACGUUCAAAUAUGAAAUCCCUCCAGUAAGUUGAUUACACGAAAGAUUUACAUAUUCAAAUUGAGUAGACGAGUUCAAAAGCCAAGUGGGCAAGAUAUCCGAAAUUCCUGCAUCCGAGAUAUCUAAAACAGAUAAAUUCUUUUGGAACUUUAACCAUCGAGGAAACUUGGGGCCAAGAUUCCAUUGCCCCAAUUUGAUAAUUCGACAUUGAAACGGGGGAAUCCAGCUUGAGUUUGGGUCAAAUCUCAGCUUGUUCUGUGAUGCCGCUAGAGUUGUCAAUCUCGUGAGAUUAGAAAAAUGGGAUUCUGAUACAACUCCUUCCAAUUGGUUACACCCCAAAUCCAGAUACUGCAACUUUGAAAGAUUCCCCAGGUUAUGAGGAAUUGCGCCCUGGAAUCGUGCUUGAGAGAGAUUAAGAUAUGUUAAACUCUUCAGCAAACCGAAAAACUUCGGAAUCUGUAUGCCGCUAAAAUUGUUAUUGCUCAAGUCCAGGGAACUGAGAUGCUUCAACUCCAGCAGUGAAGGAUUUAUUUUGCCUCCUAGCGGGGAAUUGUUCUUUGAUCGAUGGUAAGCUUCCCAUUCACCAACUGGUGCAUCAAAAUGGGGCACUGAAAGAGGAGCAGCCAAGUGCAGUUGGUUGAUAUGGCCUGUUGAGUUAUGGCACACGACACCGAGCCAUUUACAGCAAUCCCCACCUUCAACCCAAGAAGACAACCUGUUUGAAGGGUCAACGAGAUCAUUCUUGAACUUCAGAAGGGCUUUUCUCUCACUUUCUAUGCAAAGCACAUUGGAAUUGGCAUCACAAAAGCUAAAACAGAUAGCUAGAAUGACAAUAAGAAAUGGGAAUAAGGUAAUUGUAAUACUUUUCAUGGUUGCGAUGGUACCAGCCAUUGGUUGCAACUCCAAAUAUAUAGAGUAAGCUUAGUAAACAAAAGUAUUGUGCACAUACAUCAAGCAGAAAGAAGUUUCUUCCAAAUUUCCACAAAAUGUAUUUAAUUAAUAAUAGCCUAUCAGAAAUUUCCAGUCAAAUAUAAACACCAUUUUAUCUAAAAUGAAAUUACAUAUCCAUAGUGCUGGACUGAGAUAGAGUAAGCUAAAACAAAAACAUUGUCCACAUCAUGGGCAAGGAACUUUUUUCCGGUACCCCAAAAUUCCAACAUGAAUUUAUUGCCAGAAAGAAAAACUAUGACUUUGUCAAUUUUAAUAAAUUUGGACAAAAAAAAAACAAAAUAGAAUUAUUAAUUGUUCAUGCGAGAUGCAAUGUUGAUAUGAUGUCACAUUAUGAAUUUGUUCCUAAUUAUAAAUAAUUUAAUAGAUUUAAUCCUCUACUUUUACAAAUUCUAUCAAUUUGAUCCUUAAACACAUAUAAUAAAAUACAAAUAUAAUUAAAUAAUUAUGAAAAAGUAUAAAUGUAAUAUUAUUUACAUUAUUUUGUAUCAACACAUACUCUGUAUCUAAUACUUACACCUGAGUCCAAAUAACAUGAUCCUAAACAAUAUUAUUAGAUUAUUGACUUGUGCUUUCAGGAAUCAAAGAACGAAAAAGAAAAAAGCAAAAACAACAUACAGUGACCGAAGAACACAAAUAACCACACAAUGAAUGACGACAGACUCUACUAAAUUUAACUUGCAAAAAUAAGAACUUUAAUUAAAUUCUUUGCUUUUAAGAGAUUAGUGUGUCGUUAAGCUAGUUAUGAAGCUUGCUAAGGAAUGUAAUUUUGAGGAGGUUAAGGUUAACAGUUCAGUAAGUCUAGAUGCUGAGAAAGCUAAAGUCACCAUGUUAACAAAAAAGUUUGCAGAAGCUUCAAUCAUUCUUAGUUUCGUGCCUAUAAAUUUCGUAUUUAAUAAGGUGCCUUAAAAAUUUUGCAUUGAUUAUAUAUAAUAAUAUUAUAAUUUUCCUUAAAAUAUAUACAAAUAAUAUUAUAUAUUUUAUUUUUCCAUAAUUAUAUAAAAAUUAUUUAAUUAUAUUUAUAUGUAUUUAAGGAUCAAAUUGAUAAAAUAUGUAAAUAUAAAAAACUAAAUGUAUCAUUAUCCAAUUAAAAAAGACUAUAUCUUCACUUUGUUGACCAAACAUAAAUUUUUCUUCACUACCCCAAAUUUCCAGCUUAAAUUUUCCGCAGAAAAGCUAUAGAUUUGUCAAACUUAAUAGAGAAAUUGUUCACGCGAAUAAUUCAUAUGUAUUUCAUGAUAUUUUAAAAUUAUUUUAUUUUAUAUCGAAAUGAUAUCAUAAUAUUAUUUUAUUUUAUAUUUCACAUAUUUAACGAAAUAAAAUAAAAUUAUAAUCAAUUGAAUGUUUCUUUUUGGGAAAUUCUAAUUAAUUGCUUUAAAAUUUUGACAUGUCGAUAUUUAUUAUAUAUACUAUAGUAAUAUGAGAUUAUAAUAAAAAGAAAUAAAUAAUUAUGCUCACGUUACAUUUUUUAUUUGAAAGACAUAUUUACAAUUUGAGAAAUUUACUCUUUUAUUCCUUGUCUUUUAAUUUUUUAAGUCAGUCCAUACAUUUUUUUAAAAUUUUUUUCUUUAUAAUUUUUUAUUUGUUCAAUAUAUAAUUGAUUUUAAAUAAAUUAUUUAUUUAUUUUAAUAUACCUUACUUAUUGAAUUAAAUUUAAUUUUAUCAUAUUAAAAUUAAUGAAUAUUAAUUUGUUAAUUUUAAAAUAUCAUUUUAAAAAAAGAAACAUAUUAAGAAUAUUUAUCAAAUUAAAUUUUUAUUUUUCAAAUAUAAUAAGAGUUAAUCACAUUAAUUGAUUAAAUUAGAAAAAAAGAGAUAAAUAUAAAAUUACAAAUAUUGAAUAGGACAUUAAAGUAAAUUAAUUUUUAAGAAUAUAUAUAAUAAAUAAUAGGUAAGAAAUUAUUAAUAAUAUUAUUUAAAUUAUAAUAUAUUAAUAUUAAUAUUUAAACUAUGAUGAUUUUUUUGUAUUAAUUUAAUAUUACAUAUUUUUAAAUUUUAAAUAAUUAUAAUAUAACUAAUUCUAAAAUAAGUAGAUAUUUGCCUUUGUUGAUAAAGAGUACAACAAGAGAAGAAAAUAAGGCAAAACUAGGAGCAAUGAAGGCUAGUUCACCUGUAAAGAUCGAGAGCUAGAAUAAGGACAAGAAGACAGACCGAUUAAGAGGAUAAAUGCUUAAAGUAACUCCAGGGUGCCUCAGUCUAUAGUUUUUUAAGGUACUUAUAGAAAAUAUCCCCUUGUCUGCUGGUAUGAUAUGACUAAAUAAGCGUUCAAUUUCGUUAAAUGUGUAAUGGAUAACCAUAGGCACAUUUAUAAGAUUCUAUUAAUAUGAAGUAGUCAAGCUUAAAUAAACUGUUUAUUUUCUUGAAAAUAUGUUCAAAUUAGGAUAGUGUUUUCUUUUAAGCUUGGAUGACCAAUUCAGAAUUAACCAUGCUAUGCCCACACUUUGUUUUAGUUGAAUAUUGAUGAGUCUUUGUCCUAUAUGGUUGCUUAGAAGACUUAAAAUGGUAUAUUUGUGUAAAGAUAACGAUGAAUCAGUCAUCAUCAACCUGUUUGUUAUAUUACUUAAUUUGUCAAUAAAAUUGAAUUGUAGCUGGGUUAUGAUUGGAUGGGUUUUCUCUUUCUUUGGGACAUAAAUUUCAGUCACUGUGCAUUAUGGGAUAAGAUACCUGUUGAUUAUAUUGCCUAAAUUGUACGAAAUUGAAUUGUUGUUGGCUUAUGAUUGGAUGGGUUUUUCUCAUUGGGAGGUAAUUUUCAGUCGCUGUUAUAACAGAAUUUUGCUUCUUACACCUGGCACACACUUACAUGCUCUUUUUGCAUUUCAUGAAAAAGUUAAAUUAUCUAAUUAAAUUGAUAAAAUAUGUAAAUAUAAAACAUUAAAUGUGUCAUUAUCCAAUUAAAAAAAAGACUAUAUCUUCCCUACCCCAAAUUUCCAGCUUAAAUUUUCCGCCGUUGUCAAAACUUAAUAGAGAAAUUGUUCAGGCGAAUAAUUUAUAUGUAUUUCAUGAUAUUCUGAAAUUAUUUUAUUUUAUAUUGAAAUAGUAUCAUAAUAUUAUUUUAUCUUAUAUUUCACGUAUUUAACGAAAUAAAAUAAAAUUAUAGUCAAUUGAAUGGGGAAGUUCUAAUUAAUUGAUUUAAAAUUUUAACAUGUCGAUAUUUAAUAUAUGUACUAUAAUAAUAUGAGAUUACAAUAAAGAUAAAUAAAUAAUUAUGCUCUCGUUACAGUUUUUUUGACACACAACAUUUACGAUUUGAGAAAUUUACUCUUUUCUUCUUCGCCUUUUAAUUUUGUAAGUCAUUCCAUACAUUUUUUUAUUUUUUUCUUUAUAAUUUUUUAUUUGUUAAAUAUAUAAUUGAUUUUAAUAAAUUAUUUAUUUUAAUACCUUACUUAAUUGAAUUAAAUUUUAAUGUUAUCAUAUUAAAAUUAAUGAAUAUUAAUUUGUUAAGUUUAAAAUAUUAUUUUAAAAAAAUAAACAUAUUAAGAAUAUUUAUUAAAUUAAAUUUUUAUUUUUCAAAUAUAAUAAGAGUUAAUUAUAUUAAUUGAUUAAAUUAGAAAAAAAAGAUAAAUAUAAAAUAACAAAUAUUGAAUAUUAACAAUUUUGACAUUAAAGUAAAUUAAUUUUUAACAAUAUAUAUAAUAAAUAAUAGGUAAGAAAUUAUUAAUAAUAUUAUUUAAAUUAUAAUAUAUUAAUAUUAAUAUUCAAACUAUGAUGAAUUUUUGUAUUAUUUUAAUAUUAAAUAUUUUUAAAACCUAAAUAAUUGCAAUAUAAUUAAUUCUAAAAUAAGUAGAUAUUUGCCUUUGUUGAUAUAGAUCGAGAGCUAAGUUAAUAAGUGAUGUAUUUGCACUUUUGAUAAUGUUAGUGGCUGAUUUGUUAUUUUUCGAAAGUUGUGUGACUGAAUUGAAACUUGAGUGACUGUUUUGUCAACUACCCCCAAGUUGAGUAACUGCUGAUGUAAUUUACCAAUAAAUUUAUAAUUACUUAUGGUUUUAUAUUCAAAUUUAAUCUUUUCGUUAAUUUUAAUUUACAAAGGUGAAAAUUGGAAUAUUUUCUCAGUUCUGCCCUCUAUUAUUAUGGAUUCUUCUUUUAUAAGCAUCCUUUUUCAUAGCUCCAUGCAUUUAGGAACAUAGGAUCAUUCCUGCAAAUAAAAGAUGGUAGGUGACUAUUCUUUUAAUAAAAACAUUUUUUCUUAAAGCAUUGAUAGAUAGAAUUAUCUGUAUUCAAUCUCUUUGGUGGUGUACGAAAAGGAUAUGAUUGUCUUGGGUAAGUCAAGGUUUUUGUAAUUUGUACGAAUGCGUGGAUCGACAAGGAAUCUCUCUUUCUAUAUUUGUAUUCCUCCCAUUUUCUUAGGCAUGCCAGCUCUGUUUUGUUCUACUCCUAUGAUGUUAACACUUGGAUUUAAAGAUUUAGUUUUUUACUACUUUUAACUGAUAUUAAAACUGAAAAAAAAUUCAGGCUUCAGUUUUGCUUUUGUUCAUUGAUGAGGUUUUUAGAGGCUAUGGGUAUAUUAAGCAAAGAAAAAAAAUGGUGUUAAUAAAAAAAAUAAAAAUUAUAAAAUAAUUAAGAAAUUAAAUAAAAACAGGAAAAAAUUAGUGAAGUUAUCGUAAAGGUAGAAUGGGAAGGCGGUGUUGGUGAAUGUGGUAUGAUGAGUCGCAGUUGGUUGGAUGGUGUUUUUCAUGCGUUGAGCCAUUAUAUUGGGUUGGUUUUCACACUUUCUUCUAUUUAAUCAUGAAUUUUUAAAGAAUGGCCACCUUUUUCGACCAUUAAUUUCACACUAGAAAAGUCAUUUGAAGGCUGCAAUGCCAGCACCAUUAUUCACGUUUGGGCGAAACAUUGAAUUUUUUUCAUCCCUCCAUUGCUUCCACCCUCUAUCCUUUUCUACUUCUUGUAUAUUUGAAAUCAAAUUCUUAAUUUUAAUAAUAUAUAAAUCAUAAAUAAAUAUUUAAAUUUCAAAUUCUUCCACCCUCCAUUCUUAUAAUAAUGUUUUGCACAUCACUCUUGAGGUUCGAAUUUACACUACACCAAAAAUGAUAAACAUGACAAAAACACCUGUAUACAAGCCCAAUUUCACCCGGGCCCAAUACAUGCAAACAAAUAAAUAUACCAACAGUCCAUGACCCAUUACAUAUCAAGCCCAAUUAAACCUAAAUCCCAAAAGCCCAUACCAACAAAACAAAACAGCAACCUAAUUCAACCCAAUAACCUAGCCCAAAACAGCCCAACAGACCCAAGCCCAAGUGCCAAAAGUUAGACUAGGGUUUCAGAGACUGAAACCCUAGUGCCGCAUGCUCUGACCCUUGGCCUAGCCCGGCGCCGCCUCCAUCAGCGGCAGCGCAAGUGGCACACCCCACUUGCACCUGCCCUCUGUCACCGCGGCACCUACUCCACUUGCAAGAGAAACAAGAACACGCUUACAUGUUCUUUUUGCAUUUCAUGAAAAAGGUUAAAUUUUAGUUUUGAUCCUUUUAAUAUGUUUAAACUUAUAACAUAUAUAUAACAAGAAGUUAAAAGGACCUUUCUUGUGACACGUGGCACCACUUACAUGUUCCCUUUUUCUUUUCUUUUCAUAAAAAAAGGUUAAAAUUCAGUUUUGGUCCUUUUAAUAUGUUUAAACUUAAAAUUUAGGUCCAAAGGACCUUCCUUCUAACACGUGGCACACACUUAUGUCACGGGGCUAGACCUUUCAUCUCGCAAUUCGUGCGGCCUUAGGUGAUCCGUUCGUCCAAACUCGCCCAAGUCAGCCUUAACCCGUGUAAGGAUUCUUUUAGAACUCCUCCAAGGUACCAAAUUGAAGAGCGGAAGCGAUUUAUGCCAAAGGAAGAACAACAAAGAACAACAGAAAGAACGCGCGCAAAGUGUUUGAGUAAAUGCUCUCUGUUCUCUUAUUCACAAAGAAUAAUGAAACAAUGAAUGGAGUGAGUACAACUAAGGGGGAGACUCUCUAUUUAUAGUUGAGCUCCCCCAAAACCAACGGUCAAGAUACAUUUACAUCGACGGAUGAGAUUAACCAUAUCCCUUAAUUUUAGGGAUUUACAAGAUAAGCCUUAUCUAAUCUAAUCUUCUAAGAUUAGUUACCAUAUUAGCCUAAGUUGCCAUCUCUUCAUUAUCGGGCCUACCAGGCUUCAAUUUGACAGGCUUGUCCAAUAGCUCUUUGAAUCGGGCUAGUUCUUGUGUGCCAAAUGAUCCCCAUCUGAGCAAUAGACCUCCAUUGGAUGCAUUUUGUGCGAUGGUCACGGGCUUUGAACUGCGGCCUGUGACAUUCUCCCCCACCCAUUCUCGCAACGUCCUCGUUGUAACUUCCGAAUGGCACUGACUGGAUUCGCAUCGGUCUCGUCUUAACGCCUUAGCCUUCCCCUUCCUUCGGGACUUUUGGCUCGGCUUACAUCGCUUCUUAACUCGAACCGUCCUACUCGUUUGUACAUCUCGAUGACAAGAAGUUAUGUCACUCUCUUGUCCACAUUCUAACUUGACUCGAACAGAAUCCUCUUGAUUCACCACACUUGGCUUCACUUUGCCCACAAUCUCUCGACCUCUUUGCUCAAGAACUUCGAAAGGGCCCCUAAGUUCUUGCCAAGUCAACAAGUUAGAAUGCAAAACACUAUCACAGUGUUCGAAAUGUACCUUUGCAUUUACUCUGGUCAACUGUCGCACAUGCAUCACUUCUUUUCCCUUAAAGUCUAAUGCACCACCCACUUCUCCCAUAGGUGGAUGCCUUGUAGAGGAUUCGGCCAACUCCGACGCUUCACUCAACUUGAGCCUCAUUGGUCCCAGCUUCACUGUUUUCAUCGCAACUCUUUCCUCUAAGUCCGAUGACAAACUCACCUCUUCCUUGGGUGGAAGCCCCUCCGAUGACUCACGAAGCUCAGACGUUGCCUUUCUUUUGACUUCGGCUUGCUUUGGACAGUUCCACAACUCAUGCGGACCACGGCACAAUAAGCACUUUACUCGCUUCUUUUCGCUCCUCUUUGCCCUCUUGGCUUCGACUUUUCCCUUGCUCGAACCAAGCUUCUUGGGCUCCUUGUCUACUCCAUCGUUCCUCUUGAUGACAGACUUUCUCGGACACUUCCGCAACCUAUGCGGACCAUGACAUAAGAAGCACUCCACUGGCUUCUUCUCGCUUUCAGCCUCCUUGGCUUCGACACCCCUUGUGCUCGAACCAAGUACCAAGGCCUUACCCACCGACUUCUCCUUAAGCGCGAAUUUCUUCAGACAUUUCUUCAACAUGUGUGGACCGUCGCAAAGAAAGCAUUUCAACUUGUCCCUUUUCCUCUUGGGUUUCUUCUUCCCAACUUGUGGUUUCCCAUUACCACCAUUGUCGCCAUUGCCAUUGACAUCAACAAUAUCUUCCUUGUGAUCCAUUUCACAUACGCCCCUUUCCUCAGACUUGGAAGCUUGUCUUUCUCUAAACCAAGCUUGAUCACGGACUCAACUACCGUCAUGGCUUCCGACAGCUUUUGGACACCUCUUUGUUCCACCUCUUGUCUGACCCACGGCUUCAAUCCAUUCUGAAAAGCAAGCAAUGCCUCUCUUUCGGUCGCCUCUGAAACUUGGAGCAUGAGUUCCUUGAACUCUUGAACAUACUCCCCCACUGUGCCCCGUUGCGUUAUCCCUUACAACUUUGCCCGAGCUUCUUCUUCGGUAAAUUCUGGGUAAAACUGUCCCUUCAAUUCGCAUUGGAACUCUUGCCACGUCCCUAUCUCACCUUGUCUUUUAUCUGUGGUCCUACCUCACCACCAUAAAAGCACAAUGUCAGUAAGAAACAUUGAAGCAGUGUUUACCUUAACCGUAUCAUCCAUGAUGCCUUUGGCACGGAAGUAGUUUUCCAUCCUCCUCAAGAAAUUGUCCACAUCGCAUGCAGACCUUGUCCCCACAAACUCUUUCGGCUUCGGGACAUCCUCGUUACUGAGUGCUGCAUUUGCCACUCCUUUCCCCACAGCUGCUCGACACAAGGCCAGCUCUCCCUCGAGCUCCUCUAUUCUUGUGGUCAAAGCUCUCGUCGUGGCCAUUGUUUCCUCUUUCAAAGCCAUCAUCAUGGCCUCGAGAGCAUCAUUCCUUUCCGACAGCUUAUCCCUGUAUGAAUUAAACAACUCGUUUACCUUAUCCAUGGUGGAACCAAUAGACAUCUUUACAUAGUCUCUCGACUGCUCCUUCCAGUUUGCUAUGCGAUCCUCGACCCCAUUGAGUGCCUCCUUUACAUCCUCCAUGGAUCCCUCGAGUUUACCUACACGUUCCUCUACUGCCGAUAAUGUCUCCCUCAAAAACUUCCUCGCUCACCUUUGUUCAAACUCUUCUUUCGACAUCCCAACGGUGCCUUCGAACCAAUAACUCAAAUAUCACUUGGUUCGAACCAACAGCUCGGAUACCACUUGUCACGGGGCUAGACCUUUCAUCUCGCAAUCCGUGUAACCUUAGGCGAUCCGAUCAUCCAAACUCGCCCAAGUCAGCCUUAACACUUGUGAGGAUUCUUUUAGAACUCCUCCAAGGCACCAAAUUGAAUAGCGGAAGCGAUUUAUGCCAAAAGAAGAACAACAAAGAACAACAGAAAGAACGCUCGCAAAGUGUUUGAGUAAAUGCUCUCUAUUCUUUUAUUCACAAAGAAUAAUGAAACAAUGAAUGGAGUGAGUACAACUGAGGGGAAGGCUCUCUAUUUAUAGUUGAGCUCCCCCAAAACCAACGGUCAAGAUACAUUUAUAUCGACGGAUGAGAUUAACCAUAUCCCUUAAUUUUAGGGAUUUACAAGAUAAGCCUUAUCUAAUCUAAUCUUCUAAGAUUAGUUACCAUAUUAGCCUAAGUUGCCAUCUCUUCAUUAUCGGGCCAACCAGGUUUAAUCUGACAGGCUUGUCCAAUAGCUCUUUGAAUCGGGUCAAUUCUUGUGGGCCAAAUGAUCUCUAUCUGAGCAAUAGACCUCCAUUGGAUGCAUUUGGUGCGAUGGUCACGGGCUUUGAACUGCGGCCCGUGACACUUACAUGUUCUCUUUCUUUUUUAUUGCAUUUCAUAAAAAGGCUAAGUUUCAGUUUGGUCCUUUUAAUAUGUUUAAAUUUAAAACUUAAUUCAUAUAUUUUAAUUCUUAACAUAAUUUUAUCAUUAUAUUUUUAUAUUAUUAAUUUAUACUUUUUUUUCAUUUUUUAAAUUAUAAUAUAAUGGUCAAAUUUUAAUUUUGACAUCUAUGUUAUGUUGAAACUUAAGAUUUAAUCUAUAUACUUUACUUUUUAUUUAAUUUGAUUCUCUUACUUUUAUAAUGUGGUUAUUUAGUCUAAAUAGUUAAUGUUGUUAACUAUUUCAAUCAAAAUGUUAUCGCCAUUUUUUCUUAAGAGCAUUACUCCAACAAAAAUAUUAUUUUAUCAUAAUUAGUUCAAAUGGAUACUUUUUUUAAAAAAAAAUCUUAAUAGCUAUUUUCAAUAUUAUUUUUAUUGUUACAUGACAAAUAAGAUAACUCUUUUUUUUUUUGUUUUGUUUCUAAAUGUUACACUAGUAAGUUUAGUAGAUGAAUUUUAACAGUGCUGACUAUCGCACUAAAUUUUUAAAUUCAAAAAAUAAAAAGAUAAAAUCCUUGAAAAUAAAAGUAGGGGACUGAAUUCCAAAUGUGCGAUAGGUAUAAAGACUUAAAUUUUAUUUUAAUCUUUAAAUUUUUACUUCAUUAUUUGAUAAAACAAUUCAUCAAUCUGACCCAAAGCGUUAAAACCAUCUAGUAGGAAAAAGAGAAGGACCAUGUUGUGUUUGAACAAAGGUGUUGUUGAGAUUGAUCAUUUAAAAACAAAGAUCGCGGUUGUCAAUUCAUCAAUAGGGCAAGAUUUAUUUUUAGAUUUAUAAUGUCUACUUUGUCAAUUUCGUUCUUGCCUUAUCGCCCUCUUUAACACAAUAACAUCUUCAUUAUUGAAAUACAAUUAAACACAAUCAUACAAUACAUCAUCAGAGCAUACUUCCAAUAAAUUAUACAAGCUCGAAAUGUCAUUUAUUCUUGCAAAAAAGGGAAAGCAUGAAUAAGUAUCGAGUACUAUGAUGACAUAAAGCCAAUUCACUUUACUUCUUUCAUGGCUACCUCCAAUAAUUGUAACAUCAACCAUAAUAUCCUUUGUGGUGCAUCUUUUAGUGAGAGGAGGUCCGUAAAGAUGAUUGUCCAUGUAAGAAAAGUUUUUAAAGCUUUGAAGUUGAGUGCUUGUCGAGAUUUGUCCUGUUGUAGAUCACGUUGAAUAGAUUUUAGAAAUUCAAAUUGGAGAAAUUUGGAGGGAUUUCAUCGUUGAUUAAUCGACAAAUCAAGAGAUUCCAUUAACUUCAUGUUGCCAAUGUUGUUUGGUAUAUUUCUUAUUAGGAGAUUCCUUGACAAAUUUAAUGGUAGUAGCCCAACGAGAGUUCCAAUUUCUUUGGAGAUCUCUCUUGUGACAUUGUUAGCUGAAAUGUCUAUGCUGCUAACAAGUCUUGGUGUGGUACUCUAUUCAUCUUCUCAUCCUUUCAACACCAAUAGUGCACUCAAAUGUAUUUAUGUCCCAUUUUGAUAAUUCAAAUAUAGAAAUAAUUUCGUUAUAACAAGAUACGAACCGAGCAACAACUUUCACAACAAAAAUAAAAUUUAAAUUAGUACCUAACUGAAAGUACAUAAAUUUUAAUUCAUAAAAUAUUAUAUAUUAAAAUAGAUAGAGAUUGUAUAUUUAUUUUCUAUUGAUAUUAAGAUUUAUAUUUUAUGUUAUGCUUUUAUUUAUAUUUUAAUUUUAAUUUUAAUUUUAAAUUUUAUAUUAAUAUAAUAUAGUAAAAAUUAUUUUAAUCAUAUUUCAACAAAAAUUAUCAAAUUAGAUUAUCAUAUUAUAAUUUAAUAAUAGCAUGAGAGGUCAAAAGUAGUACAUAUAAAAGAACAAAGAAAAGAAAACCUAACCAACAUCACUAAAUAUAAACACGUCCUUACAUUUUCAUAAUCUGCGUAUGCACAAUAUCUUUCCUAUUGUUUUAAUCACUACAAUAUACGUAUAAAGGUUUAUAUUAUACUUUAGUUAAAUUACACCCAUAUUCACUUUAAAAUAUGGUUUAUCAUAUUUUGAUCAUUUUAAAUUGUUUUCAAUUUAAUCACUCUAAUUAAGAUAAUUGUUCGAAUUAAUCAUGACAUUAAAAAUUCUAUUAAUUCAAUAAAAAUUGUUAAUUUGACAUAUUAAUCAAUUGAAUGUUUCAUAGGUGACAUAUUAAGCAUGAUAAGGAACAUCUAGGGUUGGUUCUACUUUGUUCGUUUCCCCCGUCUUAUUCAACCUUUAGAGACACGGUUUUAUAUUGCCGCGAGUCUCUCACAGUUGAUGAGGCUUAUGAUUCUUUGACAUCGUAUGAUAAAAUGAAACAUCUUAUGGUUAAACCCGACUCUCAGGGAAAGGGUCUCAUGAUUCGUGAGAGACAAACCGGAAUAUUGAUGAUGAGUGUGGAAGGACACAAAAAUGGAAUCCUCGUGGCAAAUUGAAGGGUAGAUCAAAGUAUUCAAAUAGAGGUAAAACUUGUAACUUCUGUAAGAAGAAAGGGCACAUUAAAUCUGAGUGCUAUAAGCUGCAGAACAAGAUCAAAAGGGAGGCUACAAAUCAAAAGGGAAAACAACUAGAAAAAUUUGGUGAAGCUGAUGUUGUAGAAGACUACAGUGAUGGUGAACUUCUAGUCGCUUCUGUGAACAAUUCUAAAGUGAAUGAGGAGUGGAUCCUUGAUUCGAGCUGCACCUUCUACAUGAGUCCCAAUCAGGAUUUGUUUACAACUUAUGAAACAGUGUCUGAAGGUGUUGUUUUGAUGGGAAAUAAUGUUUCAUGUAAAAUCACAGGUGUUGGAACGAUUAAAGUAAAUAUGUUUGACGGAGUUGUUAGAACACUUAGUGACGUGUGACAUGUUCUAGAAUUGAAGAGAAUUUUAAUUUCAUUGAGUACUCUUGAUUCAAAAAGGUACAGGUACACAGUUGAAAGUGAGGUUUUGAAUAUUUUCAAAGGUUCCCUCGUUGUGAUGAAAGGGUAGAGAAAGACUGUCAAGUUAUAUGUUUUGCAAGGUUCUACUGUUACUAGUGAUGCAGCUGUCGCUUCCUCUUCCUUGUCAAAUGAUGAUCUUACUAGACUUUGGCAUAUGCACCUAGGGUAUAUGAGUUAUUCAAAUCGGUUUUCUUUAUGUUGAAAGUGGGGUUUCAUCAAAAUUAAGAAUUAAUGUUUUCAUGUAUGAUGUAACCUCCACAAUCCGACAGUAACGUCUAAGCUUGAGUGGAUACCUUGGGAAACUAAAAUAAAUUUAAGAAAACUAUAAUUAAAUUUUUAUCUAUUUUUAUUUUUAAAUUAUAAAAAAUUUGUUGAAAUGUUAUUAAAUAAUUGAAAAGGGAUAAUGGAUAAUGUAGUGGGAAAUAUCUAUAAACUAAUUUCUCCAACAAAACAUAUUCAUACAUUAUCAUAACACAAUUUGAUCCAAUCUUCGGUAAAUUAUGCCAACCUAAAAUGUCAUUGCAAAAGGGAAAACAAGAAUAAGUAAAGAAUAAUAAAUCUAAACUCGGAGUUUAGUUCAAUUGAUUCAUGUAAUCCCUUUUAAAAUGUGACAUUUAAUAGAUUUGAGAUCGAAAGCUUAUAUAAUCAAUACAAACACACAAACGUUAAUUAUACAUGUUUUUCUUUUUCAUCAAACUACAUACCCAUAGUAGCCCAAUACACAAACAGCUUUCGACCAACAUGGUCCACCAAGAUCUGAUGAAAAACAAGGGAGCCACUACACCCCAAAAUCCCAUUAUAAAGCCAAGAACUAUGUUGAUAUAUAUAAAGCCAAUUCACUUUACUUCCUUCACUGCUACUUCCAUUAUUUGCAGCAUUAGUUGGAAUACCUUUUGUGUUGCAAUUUUUAGUGAGAGGAGAUCCGCAAAGAUGAUUGCCCAUGUAAGAAAAGUUUUCAAAGCUUUGAAGCUGAGUGCUUAUUGAGAUUUGUCCUGUCAAUUUAUUGUAGGCUUAUGAUUGGAUGGGUUUUUCUCUUUGGGAGGUAAUAAGAUAUGUAUAUAACAUGAUCUUGCUUCUUACACCUGGCACAUACUUUCAUGUUCUCUUUCUUUUCUUCCCAUUUCAUAGAAAGGUUAAAUCUCAGUUUUGGUCCUUUUUAAUAUGUUUAAACUUAAAAUUUAAGUUUAAAGAGCCUUUGUUUUUUACGUGGCACACACUUACAUGUCUUUUUUUGCAUUUCAUGAAAAAGGUUAAAUUUUAGUUUUGGUCCUUUUAAUAUGUUUAAAUUUAUACCAUAUAUGUAAAAAGAUCUGGAAAGGACCUUCCUUGUGACAUGUGGCACACACUUACAUGUUCUCUUUUUUCAUUUCAUAAAACAGGUUAAAAUUCAGUUUUGGUCCUAUUAAUAUGUGUAAAUUUAAAAUUUAGGUCCAAAGGACCUUCCUUUUGACACGUGCCACACACUUACAUGUUCUCAUCUUUUUCUGUAGCAUUUCAUGAAAAAGGCUAAAUUUCAGUUGGUACUUUUAAUAUGUUUAAAUUUAAAAUUUAAUUCAUAUACUUUAAUUUUUAACAUUGAUCAUUAUAUUUUUAAUAUUAUUAAUUAAUCCACUUGACAUGCUUUUCUUUUUUUUUUUGCAAUUUUUAUAUUACAAUAUAAUGGUCAAAAUUCAAUUUUGACCUCUAUAUUAUGUUGAAACUUAAGAUUGAAUCUAUAUACUUUAAUUUUUUAUGUAAUUUGAUUUAUGUACUUUUAUAAUGUCGUUAUUUAGUCUAAAUGGUUAACAUUGUUAACUAUUUUAAUCAAAAUGUUAAUAUCAUUUUUUUCUCAAGAACACUACUCCAACAAAAAUAUUAUUUUAUCAUAAUGAGUUCGAAUGGGUGCUUUUAAGAGAAAUCUUAAUUGAUAUUUUUAAUAUUAUUUUUAUUGUUACAUGACUAUCAAGAGAAUAUUUUUUUUUUAAAUGUCAUACCAUUGAAUGACUACAAAAAUUUUAACAAUGAUCACUACUAUGCCUGAAUUUUUAAAUUCAGAAAAUAAAGAGACCAAAUCCCUGAAAAUAAAAGUCAUAGAUCAUCUUAGAGCAUACUUUCAAUAAAUUAUACAAGCUCGAAAUGUCAUUUAUUCUUGUAAAAAGGAAAAGCAUGAAUCAAGUAUAGAGUACUAUGAUGAAAUAAAGCCAAUUCACUUUACUUCCUUCUUGGCUACCUCCAUUAAUUGUAACAUCAACCAUAAAACCCUUUGUGGUGCAUCUUUUAAUGAAUGAGAGGAGGUAUGAUUGUCCGUGUAAGAAAAUUUUUCAAAGUUUUGAAGUUGAGUGCUUGUUGGGAUUUAUCUUAUCAAAUUGUUGUAGGUCACGAUGAAAAGAUUCAAGAAAUUCAAAUUAGAGAAAUUUAGAGGGAUUUCACCGUUGAUUCAUCGAUAAGUCAAGAGAUUCCAUUGACUCCAUGUUGCCAAUGUUGUUUGGUGUAAUUCCUGUUAGGAGAUUCCUUGACAAAUUUAUUGAUAGUAGCCCAACGAGAGCUUCAAUUUCUUUGAAGAUCUCUCUUGUGAGACUAUUAGCUGAAAUGUCUAUGCUGGCAACAAGUCGUGGUGUGGUACUAUAUUCAUCUUCUCAUCCUUUCACCACCAAUAAUGCACUCAAAUGUAGGAGGAAAUCAGAUAAAAUAGCAGGACCACCACGCAGCAUCAUGCUUAAUUAAUUCUAUGAGGAUAAAUGACAUUAAUAAUUUUUAUUUAAGAAAAAAAGAUAAAUGGGGAUCCUUAUAAAAAAAUUUAGACAAAAAAUAAAAUAAAAAUAUAAACAAUUAAAAUAUUUAUUUACCAGUAAUUAUUCUUUUUAACUAAUCAAAAAACUUUAAAAAUGUCAAUUAAUUUAAAAUAUAAAUAAUCCACAUGAAAAAAUUGGGUUGUUGACGUGAGUUAAGAGUCUAAGACCUUAUAAUAUAUAAUAUAUGAUAUAUUAAAAUUUUAAGAAUAUUAUAUUAUAUUAUAUUUCAAAUUCAUUAUUUUUAAAUUUUGUAAAAUUAAGUUAAGAAUUAAUUACAAUACGGCUGUAUAAGGGACUUGAAUGCAUAAGGUGAAUACUAGACUGAUGCAAAAUCCAGAUUUCAUAAAUAAUUCCAAGAGGAACAAUAACUAAAACUCUUCAACGUUGAGAAUAGAUAUCUUUCUUGCCACCAUUGUUUAUUGGUAAAAUAACUAAACUCUUUUAAAGCCAUUUACAAGUAAUAAAUCCAAUCAACUCAAACUACCUUAAUUAGUUUCAAUAAGCUUCAAACGAACCAUGAAGACAAAUAUAAAUUUUGUGUCAAUAUUUGUACUCCAAACUGAUACGAAAUAGUAUUUGUACUAUUUUGGUCACUCUAAUUUUUUUUUCAAUUUAAUUAUUUUUAUUAAAAUAAUUGUUCAAAUUAUUCACUUUCAUUAGAAAUUUCGUUAAUCCACUAACACCAGCUACCGUACCUAUUAUCCAAAGAGGAAUCCUUCCAGUAGUAUCGGCCAUUUAUCCUGAUUCCUUCCGCAUUUCAUCAAGUGGUCAUGCUAAAGACAUAAACAAUCAUAGAUAAUUAUGAGAUACAAUCCUUCCGAAUGGAAUAAGAGAAUUCCUACUAUUAUUUAGUAUUCAACUACUCUCUUUUUUCUUAAUUGAAGAAAUAAUUGGAAAAUAAAAUAGCAAGUACAAAAAUGAGUAAUAACCCCCAGUAGAGACUGGUACGAUUCAAUUCAACAUUUUGUUCGUUCGGGUUUGAUUGUGUCAUAGCUCUAUAAUUAAUUCGAAUUAGGUUUAUCGUUGGAUGAACUGCAUUGCUGAUAUUGACCCCAAAAAAGAAACGGUAGGUACAGCUAGUCCGUGAACAGGCAACCAUCGCAUUAUAAAAACUGGAUUGGUUCGAUCUAUGGUCAUUGGGUCCUCCUAAAAUGAUCUACUAAAUUCAUCGAGUUGUUCCAAAGAAUCAAAACUGCCAUUUAUUAAUGGAAUUCCUUGUCGGCUCUCUGUAAAAUACUCGUUUGGACGAGGACUUCCAAACACAUCAUAAGCUAAACCUGUGCUGACGAAUAACCAACUAAAUAAUGACAUAUGACAUUUUUUUUAACUUUUGAAAAAAAAGCUUACAAACCUCUCUAUAAUUAAUUUAAAAUAAUUUUUCCUUUUCUAUUCUCUCUAUAACUCAAAAUGGAGAAACCAAAAUAGGGCAUCUCAAAGCUACCUGUCUUUCACUAUUUUCUCAACAAUGAAUCAAUGACAACAAUCAACGAUAACCCACCAUACAUCCACAAAUGAUAAAAGAAGAAUGAACAUAUAUAAAAACCCCAAUCAAAAUCUACACGAAUCUAACGAUCAUCAAGUAUUGACCCACUAACAUAAUUGACAACAUUCUCUGCAUCUUAGAAAGAGAGAGAGAGCGAGAGAGAGAGAGAGAGUUACAAGACAAAGCAAAAGCUGCAAGGUGUUUUAGACUUCUUGUUAAGGCCCGUGACUAUUUUCUUGAUUUCACCGGCUCUAGAGAAAAGAUCAUAAACUUAUUCUUUAGUAGUGUAAAAAGACAUGUUUCCGAUGUAGAUGGUUAUCGAAGUGAGUGCUUACUCGAAUUCCUCUUGCGAACCAUUAAAUCUAUCGUCUUGGUACGCUGAAAGCUUAGCUGGGUCCUAUGAUUUAACACCCCCUAAAAAAAUAGAGAGAAAAUUUAUCAUUUAAUUGAUUUACAUUGAAAGCAAUUAAGAAGCAGAGAAAAUAUCUUGAAAAGAGAAUCCAUUGCCUUCUUCAAAAGCUCCCAAAAAUUUAAAUUGCCUGCACAUAACGAAUUAUAAAGGUUGAAGCUUUUGCCCAUUCCCUUGCCCUAUCCAUGCCAUAGAUCCAUCUUAUUUAUAUAUGUUCACUCUUCUUUAAUUAUUUGUGGAUGUAUGGUGGAUUAUCCUUGAUAGUUGCUGUUGACACCAUUUUUUGUAAAAACGGGGUCGACUUGGAUUUUGAAAACGAAAAUAAAAACGGGAGUCGCCACCAAUCCUUUUUGAUAAGGUGUGAUCGGAUCACCUUGAAAAGUGGUUUUUAAUAAACGAUUUGAUUUUAUCAAAACAAUGAUUUUGGUCCACGAAAUUCAGAAAAAAAAAUGGGUUCGGGAGUCGGUUACGUACGAGAAAGGAUUAGCACCCUCGUAACUCCCAAGAGUUGGUACCUAGUUGAUUAGUUAAUGUCUUAAUGUCGAAGAUUGAAAACUUUAAAGAGAUUUAGAGUACGAUCCUAAAAAAAACUCGAAUGACAUGGAUUGAGAUUUAAGAGGAUAUUUGGCUAUUUGGUCGAAUGAGAAAUCGAAACCCAGCACGUUAGGGCACGUUCUCUCGAAUUUCCAAACGCAAAAUAUUGCCUCACUUUGAAAUUUUGAAAGGAUAUUUGGCUAUUUGGUCGAACGAGAAGUCGAAACCCAGCACAUUAGGGCACGUUUUCUCGAAUUUUCAAAAGCAAAAUAUUGCCUUACUUCGAAGGUUCAAAAAGAUAUUUGGCCAUUUGGUCGAACGAGAAAUCGAAACCCAGCACGUUAGGGCACGUUUUCUCAAAUUUUCCAAACGCAAAAUAUUACCUUACUUCAAAGGUUUAAAAAGAUAUUUAGCUAUUUGGUCGAACGAGAAAUCGAAACCCAGCACGUAGGGCACGUUUUCUCGAAUUUUCCAAACACAAAAAUAUUACCUUAUUUUGAAUUUUUUGAAUUUGAAUGAAUAUUAAUGGAAUAUUUGAAAAUAUAAUGUGCAUUUGAUUACAUUUGAAAAGAAUUCGUUUGAAAACUUUGAAAGGAUCAUGCGUAAGUAAUAACGAUUUUGCAAUAUACACUUGAAGCAACAAUGAAAUAAUAUGCAUAAAAAGUAUACAUGUAGCAUUGACGCUAAGAAAUUCCAAUAUUAACAUGCACGAAUAAAAAUAAUGAUACCAAUGGCAAUAUUACAAUAACAAUAACAAUAGCAACAACGACUAUAAUAAUAAAUCUAAAUUUUGGAAGUAUUAAAAAUGGCAAAAUAAAUAAGUAAUGAAAUGAUAGAGUAAUAAUAAUAACAAGAGUAAAAUACACAUACCAAUAUAUAAAAGAGAAUAAUAAAUAAAAUAUGAACUAAUGUAAGUUGACCAAAAAUUAAAAAUAAAAAAGUAAAUAAUAUUAAAUAAAAUAUUAAAUAAAAUUGAUUUUUAAAUAUAUAUAUAUAAAUAAAAUAAAAUAAAAAAAACUGAGGUUCAAUAGGCCGAGGAUCAGGUUAAAAUCGGGCUAAAAAUUUGGGACCAAAUUCGCAAAUAAGUAAAAAAAGGUGGUUCGGGGCUGAAAUAUAAGGCGCUUAAUAUAUGAGGGACCAACUAGGAAAUAUUACCCGGUCCCAAAGUACGUCGUUUGAACGAGGACUAAAACGAAAAGGAAAGAAAAUUAUAAGGUAAAAUGCAAAUAAAAAAAGGUAAAUAGGUUCAGAUUGAAAGGUUAAUAAAAGCUGGAGGGACCAGGUAAGAAAAUAGCCCAUUAUGUGCUAGAACACGUGAACCUUGGCAGUGUCGGGUCAGGUCUUCGGGUCCCCGUGAAACGACGUCGUUUUGGCUAUUGUUUACUAAAUCCAAAACAACGUCGUAUUGAAUCCCAUAUAAAUAUUAAAGUUUUAAACAAAAAAAACGUAAACUCCAUUUUCAACAAAAAGAAAAUCUGAGGAGAUCUCAGAUUUCUCUCAACCAACCCCUCGGCCGACCAUCGUCGCCGCCAUAGUGCUACAGUGUACAGUGGUUGGCGACAAAAAAAUGGCUUUUUAGCCCUCGUUCCGGAACGCCCUUGGAAGCCCAACCCUCUCGGCCUCAAAAGAAAAUGGAGGACUCUCGACCCACUCGUGGAUCCGAAGGCAACGACGGAGGAGCCCUCCGACAGCGCGGUCACGGGGUGUCCGGUGAGCCCUCCCCUCCUUUUUUAUUUCUUAUUUAUUAUGCAAAAGAGAUAAAAUAAAAUAAAAUAAAACGAACAGAAAACAAUCUAAAAAAAUCACCUUUUAAAAUUGAUUUCUGUUUUUUUAUUAUUCAAAGUUCGUCAAAAGAAGAAAUUACAGUGUUUUUGUUCGGCCUAUAUAGCCGAUUUUUACAACCCCUAUACUUCUACUUUUUUGUCGUUUGCGAUUUGGAUUGUGUUUGUUUGUCAUUUUGUGCUUUGUUUGGUUGUCUGUUGUCUACUACUCUUUGUAGGUGUUCUGGCGCGCAUGGGAAGGUGGCGAUGGGACGCGAUGACGGUGGCGUGCACGAGGGAGGCCGGCAGAACAUGCGUCGCUGGGUCAUGGGCAGAGGCGAGCAUGCGACGCUGGAGGCUUAGGACUAGGGUUUUUGUUGAAAAAAAACAUUAGUUUGUUGGCCUUUGGGCUGUUAUAUUUUGGGCUUGUAAUUAGGGUUUUAUUUGUAUUUGGGCUCGGGUUUGUUGUAAAUGGACUGAGACUAUUAAUUUAUUUAUUUUUGGUUUAAUAUUUGGUCCCUGGGCAGAAAUUGGGCCUUACAGUUGCAACAGGUCCAUUGUUGAGAAACUAGUGAAGGGCAUGUAGCUUUGAGAUGCCCUAUUCUGGUUUCUCCUUUUUGAGUUGCAUAGAGAAGAAAAAUAGGAAAAAUGUCUUUUUGGAUUAAUUAUAGUGUAACGAUUUGAAAGUUAGUAGUAUCGGAAAUGGUAUUUUCGGAACUCUAUUUUCUAUGUUUGAAUUCAUUAAUAUCAUUAUUUAAUAUUUACAAGACUAGUAUGAAGUUUAAUUAAAAAUUGGUUCUUUAAUUUUGUUACUUAGAUAGUUAAGGAAUAAAUAUUUCGACCCUAGAGUCAGUGGUAUUGGAAAAUAAAGUAUAGGGCUUCGUUUCCGUAAACUAAACCUAUGAAUAUUUAUAUUAAAUGAUUACCAAGUUAUAUUAUAAGUGAAUUGAAUUUUGGAUAGCUAAUUUUGUUGAAUUGAUAUUUAAUUAAGGUUAAAGAAUUAAAUUGUAAAAAUGAUAAAAAUUUAAUUGCUAAAAAAUAUUCUUUAGUUAGUACAGGUAAAAGGAACUUAAGUGCAAUUGAACCACUAUGCUAAUAUUGGUGGAUGGUGAUUGAUAGUAUAAAUUUUAAUUAAUUAAAUAAAACAAAAAAUAAAAUAACAUAAAACAGUAAUAAAACAAUUGGGUGAAAAGAAACGGAAAGCAUUACCUUGCCCAAACUUCACCGCCAAUAUUUUCAAAGAAGAAGCAGCUUUCGGCCUUUAGUGGUUUCAAAUUUCAAUUCCAAAAUCGAUUCGUUUAAUUUAGUCUCUCUCUUUUUUUGUAAUUUUUAUAUUUUUAAAAUUGUGGGAGCUUAAUCUAGUUAAUCUAUAUCUAAAUUUGUUAAACUGUUAAAGUUUCAAAAAGUUACCAUUGUUGAGUUAUUGAAGUUUUAGAUGCUAAAUUGAUAGAUUUUAAGCAUAUAGGUGAAAAAAGGACUAAAUUGUGAAAUUAAUUGAAAGUUCGUAAAUUAGGGAGUAAAAUGAAUGAAUUAUAAAAUAGGUUGUAGAAAUGAGUAAUAUGAGAUCUUUAAUGGCUAAUAGUGAAAACUAAUUUCCAUUUGUAAUUGUAGAUUUAAAGUUAUGUUAAUCCCAAUUUUAAAGGCUAAACUGAAGAAAUUGAAAAUUUUUAAGAGGCAUUCGAAUGAUGAAAUUGAAUUGAUAUAUGCACAUAAUAGAAUGAUAUAAGAUGUGUGGAAUUGAUAAAUUGAAUGAAAUAAUUGUCAAGACUUGGAUCAAAUCGGAAAUAAUCGAGAAAAAAACAAAAUUGUUGAAUAGUCCUUAAAGUUUCAACUUGUUUAUUGUUUUAACCAAGUACGUCCAUAAGGUAUGGUUAUAUAUAAUUGUAACAUAUUUUUGAAUUAUGAAAUUGCUUUUGUGUGGUUUUAAUUUGAAUUGUCUACAAUUUAGUACAAAAAGGUGUGAUAUGGAUUAAAUCAUAAAGAAAUGAUAAAUUAAAUAUGGUAAAUUGCAGUUUGAGACAUUUAACUAAUUGAUAGUUGAUUUUGAUUGACCAAAUAGGAUAGGUAUGAAUUUGAUUGAUUACCGAGAUAGAGGGUUAAAUUGAAUAAUUUGAAAAAUAUAUAUGACUUGAAAUUGAAUGUGAUUUAAAUAGAAUUUGAUAUUAUACCACUAUUGAAUUAUUAUUCGUAGCUAAAAAUGACGCAGGAUCGUUGAAUGGGAAAGGGAAGGCCAUAGUCGACGAUUGGUGACAUGAGUUUUAAGUUUAUAUUUUUAUGACCUGAAACUAAUUUUAGUUAAUGCAUAUUUAUGAUAUAUUCUAUUAUAUAGCAUUAAGGUAAGGUAUAUUAAUAGAUAUUGAGUGAAAAUGAUAAGAGUGGAAGUGAAUAUCGAGACUUGGACUAAAUUGAAUAGAAUAGAAGGUAAUUUAAUUAAUUCAUGAAAUUGGAUGUGAAUAGUGAUAGUAUAUAAAAAGAGCAUGUACUUGGUGGAGUCCCUUGUGUUUUGCUAUUUUUAGGAUAUUUGACUUAGAAGCUAAUAAUAAUGCUUAGAAGUAUGUUUGGUAAAAUCGGUAAUGAAAGUUAGUAUAAUUUGAUUAUAUGUUUUAAUAUUGGUAUGGAACUCAAUGGUAUAUUUUGAGCAUAUUGGUAUGGUGAUAGAAAGGUUUUGAAAUGGUUUGUGGUGAUAUAAAUUGGUGUGUAUUUGGUUAAAUAUGAGUAAAUUAUAACUAGGCUCGAAUAUGGUAUGAAAUGUUAUAAUAGUGAUUGGAUUUAGUAGUUAGGUAAAUAUGCUAAUUAGUUUAAAUGAUUAAUGCUUUUGUUACAUGAAGGGAUAUGAGUCUUAUGUGUUUUGGGCAUAAUACGAAGCAUAAAUGAACAUCAAUAUUAAUGACAAAGUUUUGAAAGCUCAAAGGUAAGACUUGAACUUAUGAAUGACUUGGAAUUUAGAUUGGUUGAAUGGUUCAUGUCAUAGAAAUCUUAGUUAUGUAUAAAUGAGUUAAUUGAUAAGUUGUGGUGCCAAAAUAUGACAUAUUAGUUAGUUGGUUAUAAAUGUUUAGGUAUGUUUUAGAAAGUUUUUGUGCAGGUUUUAUUGGGUGCAUAUGGACACUAAGUUAAUGCAAGCUUAGUUGGGCAUGAAAUAGGCAUAAAAUGAAAGAUUUUGACAUUUGGUUCCAGAGUAUUGAUACCCUGGAAAGGUAUCGGUACUUAGCAAUUUAAAUCAGGUCUUUAAUUAAAUAGAAUGCCAAUUUAGUUUUGAUACUAUAAAUUGGUAUUGUGAAAAUAGAAUGUCGAUAAUGGCAAUGUGUUUCAAAGAAAAGAAAGAAAAAUAGAACACACAAAUUUUACAUGGAAACCCUUUCGGGGGGAAAAAAACCACGGCCAGAGGAGAAGAAAUUCACUAUGUCAAAUUUGAAUGAUACAAAAAGAGUAUAGACUACGUCUAUUUAUAGGUUUUUAAAACCAUAUUCUAAUCAAAGUCACAUAGAAGUAAUGCAAUAAGUUUAAAACUCCUUAUUCUAAUAUACAUCAAAUAGAGGAAGUAAACUUCUAUAAAGGUUUCACUUGUGCAACCUAUAUUGGACUACGGGGUAUAGUUGUGACCCUAGUCUAGUGUUUUGCUUAUUGGGGAUCUAGAAUGCGCUGCGGCCUUCGCCUUCAUAGAUCCCUCUAUCUUGCCACUUAUAUUUUUUUUAACAGGAAUUUGGUUCACACAAUUCUAACAAUUUCCACCUUGACAUGAAUUCUCAACUAACAAAUUCUUCAUCACAAAUUUUUAACGAACAAGUUCUCCACAUCUUCCAUGAAACCCCUUUAAGGGUUUAUAUUAAAACAUGUUUUUUUUAAUACUUAAACAAUACAAUAUUAGGGUAAACUAUAAAAAUAAUCGCCCAAUUAGUAACGUAUUUCUGUUUUAGUUACUUAGGUUUAAAAUUUUCUAUUUUAAUUAUUAACGUUAUAUAAAUUUAAUAUUUUGACCACUUCUCUAUUAAAUCACUAACGGUGGCCUUUUUAUUAGCAUAAUAAAAAUUCUAGCCCUCCAAUAUUUAUAAAUUCUAUCAACUUAGUCCUAAAUCUAAAAACUUCAACAAAUUUAGUCUUUAACAUUAUAUGAUCUUCUCCUAAUUGCAUCAAAACACAUAAAUUACACACAAACCACUUUCUUCGCAAAGAACUAAAUAACCUCAAAUUACACAUCAAGCAAAAGGGAUUAUAGUUUUACCCGAUACCACAAACACGCACAGGAUUGAAACAAUAGAGAAGCUAUUGGAAAACAAAAGUUAUGAGCAGGAACAGUUUCGAUGAAUAGAAUUAGGAAGAAGAAAAUUGAAAAGGAAAAUUUUGGGGGGAAAUUGCAAAAGGGACGGCAAAAAAGAAAAGAGUGAGAGUGUGUUGGAGAAGUGGGAGAGAUUUUGGGAGUUUUUUGAGUGAUAAAGCAAGAAAUAAAAAUAUUUUGAGUUACACGAAUAGGAUUCAAACGCAAGAUCAAAAGAGUAUGCUACACCCAUACCACUAAACCAAUAAGUUCAUCGUUAUCAAUAUAUGUGCACAAAUAGUUGUUAAACCAAAUACUCCAAGUGGUUUAGACAAAAUUUAGCAAAAUAUAAAUAAAAAAAUACCCAAACCCAAAAUCUCUUACACACAAGAACAACAUUUAACUACUAAAUUAAAUCAAUUCACUUACCAAUUUCUAACAAUUCAAAAAGUUAAGAUUUUGGGGCAUUACAAUUUAGUUAAGCCCAAUUUACAAUUAAACAAAGAAGUAGUUAUAGCUCCAAUAUUGACCCAAAUUGUUAAAAAUCACUCGCUUAAAUACCACACAAUACAAUCAAUAUACUCUCCAAAUAAUACCUAAAGGAAAGUCACAAAAUAACCAUGAAAAUACAACAAAGUGAUGGACAAAGACACCCAAAAACUAGACUCCAAGUGACACCAGAAGCACGAGUCCAUCUAACAAAAUUUUGAUAAGCUUUAAACUUCUAUUUAAAAGUUAAAAUUAACUCAUUAAUUAUCUUGAGUAUUUAUCCACUAAAAGUGUUCAUAAAUUAGUCUUCCAACUGCUUUGAAACUCUAUCAAAAAAUAAUAAGGCUUUUAUGUUUGUCCAAUCACUCCAAUCAAUUCGUUUGAGAGUCUUUAAAAUCUUAGUUGAACUAUACUUCGUGUUUUGUCAAUCUUAAUGGCCUAUGUCAAUCUUGAUGGCCUAAGUAGAGUAAUAAUUUCGUUAUAAUGGGACAUGGAACGAGCAACAACUUUCCCAACAAAAAUAAAUUUUAUGUUAGUACCUAAAUGAAAUUACAUAAAUUUUAAUUAAUAAAAUAAUAUAUAUUAAAUAGAGAUUGUGUGUUUAUUUUCUAUUGAUAUUAAUAUUUAAAUUUUAUGUCAUAUUUUUGUUCAUAUUUUAAAUUCAAAUUUUAUAUAUUAAUAUAAUAUAAUUUAUUUUAACCCUACUUCAACUAAAAUUGUAAAAAUCACUCCUGGGUAGCACGUGAGGUCGAAAUUAGAUGAUAUAAAACAACAAAGAAAAGAAGCCUAAGAUACGUUUUUAUGUUCAUUAAAUAUGUUGUGUUUAUAUUAUAUUUUGAGUAAAUUGCACUUAAUGUAACUUUAAAAUAAAAUUUUUCCUAUUUUAAUUGUUUUAUUUUUUAAAUUUAAUUAUUUUAAUUAAAAUAAUUAUUUAAAUUAAUCACUAUAAUUAAAAAUUCUGUUAAUCCACUAACGAAUUGUUUAUACAGUAAACAAUCCCUUUCCCUUCUCCAUGUAAUUCAAAAUGAAGAAACCAAGCAUCUCAAAGCUACUUAUCUUUCACCAUGUUUUCAACAAUGAAUAAUGAUAACCCACCAUACAUUCACAAAUAAUAUUAAAGAAUAAUGAACAUAUCUAAAAACCCCAAUCAAAAUCUACACUAAUCUGACGGGGAUCAAGGAUUGUCCCACUAAUGUAUUUUAACAACAUCCUCUGCAUCUUCCCUAGAAUGAUACCUGAUGAAAAUAAAAACCCCAAUAACCAAUUAAAAGUUUUAAAAUAAAUAUGAACAUGAUUUUGGGGAGGGAGAGAGAGAGUUACAAGACAAAGGAAAAGCCUCAAGGUGUUUUAGAGUUCUUGUUAAGGCCAAUAAUUAUUUUCUUGAUUUUACUGGAUGUAGAGAAAAGCUCAUAAAGUACUUGUUCCUCAACAGUGUAAAAAGACAUGUUUCCGACGUAGACGGUUGCUGAAGUGAGGAGUGCUUGCUCGAAUUCCUCUUGCGAACAGUUAAAUCUUCCGUUACGCUGAAAGCUUAGCUGGGUCCUAUGACAAAGCCCCCCAAAAAGAGAGAAAAUUUAUCAUUCAACUAAUUUACAUUGAAAGUAAUUGGGAAGCAAAGAAAAUAUCUUGAACAUAAAAGCCGUUGCCUUCUUCAAAAGCUCCCAAAAACUCGAAUUGCCUGCAAUAUAACGAACUAUAAAGGUUGAAGCUGUUGCCCUUGCCCUAUCGAUGCCAUAGAUCCAUUCUUAUUUAUAUAUGUUCAUUCUUCUUAAAUUAUUUGUGGAUGUAUAGUGGGUUAUCCUUGAUAGUUGUCAUAGAUCUAUUGUUGAGAAACUGGAGAAGGGCAUGUAGCUUUGAGAUGCCCUGUUCUGGUUUUUCUUUUUUUUUUUUUGGACAGAUCUGGUUUCUCCUUUUUUCAGUUACAGAGAGAAGGGGAAAAAAUGUUUUGGAUUAAUUAUACAGAGGUCCCUAAGCUUCUGUCAAAAUUCAAAAUAAAGUAACAUGUUAUCAUUCAAUUGGCCAAUAUGCCACAUUAACAAUAAGGUAGUUGAUUAAUGGAAUUUUUAACAAUAGUGAUUAGUUCAAAUUCUUAUCUUAAUUAAAGUGACUAAAUUAAGAAAAAAAUUCAUAGUGAUCCAAAUAAGACAAAUCCUGUUUUAAAAUGAUAUUAGUUGUAGUUUACGCUUAUACUUUUAUGCAUGCUUAAAAUUAAUAAUAUUUUUAGAGAAAAGAAAUUCAUUAACAAGAAAUUCACAAAACAAAAGCAAACACAAAGAGGAGACAGACUACUAAACCCGAGCCAAUAGGCUCACCCCAUACACCCAAAUCUAAUGUCUGUGAUCCUCAUUCAUAUCAACAUUAUCAACAUAAGACGAUUUCAACAUUUUUCAGAAAAGAUCAAUGUGGUUUGCAUAUAACAAAGUUGCUCACGCAAACGAAUAGGUUGCCUUGCUGACACACCGACGAGUCCAGAAAAAGGACAGACUCUAAUAUUAAUCUUUCAACACCAAACAAUCAAGUAGCAACACACAUGGCUCAAAUGCAUCAAUCAUUCAGGUUUCCUUUUCCCAUCAAACUACAUACUCAUAGUAGCCCAAAACCCAUACAGUUUAUCAUAGAUAUGGUUCAGCUUUCGGUAGUAUUUAAUCCUCCAAGACCUAAUGAAAAACAAGGGAGCCACUACACCCCAAAAUCCCAUUACAAAGCCAAGAACUAUGCUUACAUAAAGCCAAUUCACUUUACUUCCCUCACUGUUUCUUCCAUUAUUUGUAGCAUUGGUUGGAAUGCUUUUUGAGGUGCAAUUCUUAGUGAGAGGAGGUCCGCAAAGAUGAUUGCCCACGUAAGAUAAGUUUUCAAAGCUUUGAAGUUGAGUGCUUGUUGGGAUUUUUCCUGUCAAGUUGUUGUAGGACACAUUGAAGUGAUUCAAGAAAUGCAAAUUGGAGAAACUUGAAGGGAUAUCACCAUUUAGCCGAUUCAUGGACAAAUCAAGAGAUUCCAUCAACUCCAUGUUGCCAAUGUUGUAUGGUAUAUUUCCUGUCAGGAGAUUCCCUGAAAAAUUUAAAGACAAUAGUCCAGCGAGACUACCAAUUUUUUUGGGGAUCUCUCCUGUGAGACUGUUAGCUGAAAGGUCCAUGCUGGUAACAAGUCCUAGUGUCGUACCGUAUUCAUCCUCUCGUCCUUUCAACACCAAUAAUGCUUUCAAAUAAAUUAAGGAAUCAACGAAAUACGAGGAAGAAAGUUUAUUAUUGGUUUUGUUUGUUGCGACCAUUGCACUUAAAUUAUUGAAACAUUUUGGAAUAACUCCUGAAAUGUUGUUGUGGGCAAGGUCCAAGAUUUGAAGAAAUUGAAGAUCACAAAUUUUACGAGGAAUAUGACCAUCAAAGUUAUUUGAUCGAAGGCUUAGAACCACAAGUUUCGAGAGCUUAUCACCAAUCCAUGCUGGUACACUUCCACUGAAAUGAUUUUCACUAAGAUCAAGCAUAAGUAAUCUACUAGAAUUUUGCAACGUGGAGGGUAAUUCUCCAAACAUAGUAUUGUUUCGAAGGUUUAACAAACAAGGAUUUGUAUAUCCCAAAGAAGGUGGGAUUUUCCCUGUCAAAUUGUUGUUUGCUAAAUUUAAAUAAGCAAAAUAUUCCCAAUACUUCCAACAAUCUGGAAUUUCUCCAAUCAGUAGAUUAUUAUCAAUGAAAAGAGCUGACAUCCCC